GAGACCCGAGAUUGUGGUGGCCGCCUCCAAUGCCAAGCCUAUGGUACACCCCCUAACACCUUGGCCGAAUUCGCACUUAACCAAUUCAACAACAUGGACUUCUUCGAUAUAUCUUUGGUUGAUGGAUUUAAUGUGCCCAUGGCUCUUAAUUCUACUUCCAAUGGGUGCACCCGUGGCAUCCAAUGCAGCGCCGACAUAGUCGGACAGUGCCCUGAUGAGCUCCGAGCUCCCGGUGGUUGCAACAAUCCAUGCACUGUUUUCAGGACCGAUGAAUAUUGUUGUUAUUCUGGGAACUGUGGCCCUACAACUUACUCCAAGUUUUUCAAGGAUAGGUGUCCGGUGGCUUAUAGCAACCCUAAUGAUGAUCAAACAAGCACCUUUACAUGCCCUGGUGGUACUAACUAUGAUGUUAUCUUCUGCCCAUGAUGCCUCUACUAGUCCUGUUAGACGAUUUGGUACCAUCUUGGGAUCCAAAUGUCUAGAAGAAUAAAUUUGAGCACAUGUCCAUGUCCAUAGUCAUGUAAUAAGAUUUCUACCAUCAUAGAAAUCGAAUGAUUUUCAGAGGGGUUAGAAGCUUUGAAUAAUGUUUAAAUGUGCUUUACUUAUAAAAGUUUAGAACUAAUUCUUCAUAAAAAUAAUUUUGUCCAAGUGUUAUUGUUUAAGAGUUUAUUUGAUAUUGAAUUAUGAAAGUAUUUUGAAUUAUUUUAACAUUUAAAAAAUAAUUUUUCUUUAAAUAUUAAAAAAUUUAAAAAUGCUUCUUAUAAUUAUUAUCAAAUAAACUCUAAAUACUAUAUAUUAAAAACAUAAUUACUAGAAUGACCUCUAAAUGAAUUCAUAUUUUAAGUACACCGAGAAUGAUAGAAUUCAGUAAUGGUGUUUUAAAUUAAAUUGGUAAAUAUUUUGGGAUUUUCCAUUUGAAUAAUUUUUAGAAGUGAAUAAAUUAUUUUUCAGCUCUAACAUAAACAAAUCCUGUUAUUGUGGUGUGGAAAAACCUUUGCUCAAGAGUCAAGAGCGGUGGUGGAGGCUUGAGUUACGUACCCAAGUUGAAUUUUUGUAAAAGGAUGUGGAGGAGUAGAGUACAAGGAAAAUUGAUUUGCGGACAAGACCAGUUAGUUAGUGAAGCUUGAUUAAAGUCGAAGUUUUGGUGUUUUCUCCCAAGACUUCCUUUGUAGUGGUCCAAAAAAUUGGUAAGGAAAUAUGACAGACAUCGAAAGAGGAUUUGGCUAAAAGUCAAUAACUAUUUGGAGCUAUGUUCCCUUCUCGGGGCGAUGGCGUUUGCUAGUAAUCUUUGACUCGCUCUUCCCCGUAGCUUCCAUAGCAGUCCAAACCGGUUGCUUGUUCAAGGAAAACACCGUAUAAAUAAGAGGGAAGUGGCUAAAAGUCUAACUAAUUAAAAUCGUAGUCAUUUAUUGUGUGGAAUAGCGGGACACAUACGUAUUGAAGUUGAACUUGUCCAUCAAUUAAAUCUAAUACAAUUUUCUUUUUCAAUCCAACUAUUACGUAAUAAAUUUUAAAUUUCAAAUAUAUUUGCUUUUAAAAUUUACUCAAACCAAUUUAAUAACUUACAAAUAACUAAUUCAAUAACUUGGACUUCUUUAAUAUAGUAUUGUCCAAGCAUAUAUUUGAUAUGUCUUUAAUUUAUUUUUAAUUGUGCUUCUAAGCUACGUUUGGUUCUCGAAAAAUUUGAGAGAAAAUUUAAAAGAAAAAAAUUACAGAUGAAAAAAAAUAAAAAAUAGUUUAAAUAUAAUAAAUUAUAUUUGAUUUGAUUUUCUAUUUUUUUUUAUAGUGAAACAAAAUAUGAGAAAACCAUUUUUAUUAAUAUUUUUUUUCUUUAGAACACUUUCCAACAUAACUUACCAUUUAUUUUUUUGGUCAUGCAAAAGUUGAUGUAAAAAAUAUAGUUAGUCUCUCUUAUAUCAUUCAUUUGAAAUUGAGUAGAUUAAUGGUGUUUGUUUUUUUGGUUUUUUACUUAAAGCAAUUUAGUUUUAGAAUUUAGGUUGUUUGUUUUUCUACUUUUUCAUGACUUAUUAUAAACUUUUUACUAAAUAGAAAAAGUCAAAAUAUGUAGCUUUUUCUAAGUAGGAAAAAUAACAUAUUGAUUUUUUUUACUUUUUAAUACUUAAUAGAAAUAAAAUACUACAAAAACAAAUAACCUAAUAUUUAACACUAUUAAGCAUUAAGGUUCUAUUUAGAAUUAAGUAAAAAAACAAACAUCAUCUUCACACUAAGUAAUAACCCUAUAUUAGUCCUAAUAAGUAAUAAAAUUCCUCUACUAAUACAUGGUAUGGAUAAAAUAUUUACUAAAUUAACAACAUGAAUGUAAGUAAUUUAGAUAUUAGUAGGAUAUAUUUUUGUCUUAAUUAUUUAAAAAUAUAAACAUAUUUAUAUUAGGUUCUUGCUUUUUAUAAAUAUUAAUUCAACAUUUUUAGUAAUUUUUUUUUUAAAUUUAAUAAUUACAUAACCAAAAGUAAAAAAAAAAAAAAAUCAUUUUAUGAUGAUUUUUUGUCAAUUUUCAAUGAUUUCUUUCUAGUUCUUUGUUUUCAGUAGGUUAUUGAGUUAAUAAAGAAAUAAUGAAAUAUAAUGUGAUUGGGUUUUGGGUAUUUUUUUUUUUUAUAAUUUGUUUAAAAAAAAUUAGAUAAUAAAAAUAUCAUAUAUAUAUAUUUUGUUAUAAAAUUUUUAAAAGGAAAAAAAUUGUUGCUAAAUAUGAUUUUCAAAAACAUUUAUCACAAUUUUAAUUCAAAAAAUUGAAAAAUAAAAGUGUAAUGGAAGAUACUACUAAUGUAGUACAAGCAAUAAAUAUUUUUACCCUUAGUUGUGAAAAAUAUAGAGGAAAGAAAUUUUAUGAUGUCUGUUUCUAGAAGGUUGUAGGAAACCUGUUUGCCACGCCAGCCUAUUAAUAUUUUCUUCUUCGAAAAUUAAGAAAUUAUGGCAUUUUUUUAAAAAAAAAUUAUGCUUAAAAAUAGUUUUUUAUUUAGAAUAUAAAACUUAAAUUUAAAGAAAUUGAGAAUAUAUUCUAAAACUGAAUUAUCUUUUAGAAUAAAUUUAAGGGUUUUUUUUUAUUAUGUUCUAUUAAAUAAUAAUUAUUAAAAAUAUGAAAAUUAUUUUUUUUUAAAAAUAUAUUAUAUAUGUGUAUGUCAACUUUAAGAAAAAUAAAUAAAUAAAUAAAUAUAUAUAUAUAUAUAUAUAUAUAUAUUUUAUGUCUGAGAUUUUAAACAAAAUUUUAUUUAUAAAAAUAAUUAAAAAUUAUGUUUUGCCUAACAUGCCUAUGUUCUAGUCGUCUACGGAGUUGGUUCGGGAUGGCAGUGGAAAAUAUACUUUAGAUAUUUUCUCUUCUCUAUAGUCAGAUGCUUCUGCGUAUUUUAAAUGGUAAAGACCAAAACUCAAUUAUGAUAUUAUCGAAAAUAGACCCAGUCCAAAGUGGUCAUUCAUACUGGCAUAGUUCCAGGAAGGUGAUCAACAUCAGGGCUGUCUCAUUCAAGAAAGGAAAUUUGCACCCACGUUUUCUAGAUACAUUCCUACUGUUCUGAUGAUUCGGUAUGCACGAAUUUAUGCAAAGGUUAGGCAGAUUUCUGAAAAUAAUAAAAAUGGUAAUGAAGUGGACCCUUCUCUCUGUAAAAUAUUUUAAAUAAAAAAUACUUAUUUUUCUAAAAAUAAGUAUUUUCAAUAUGUAAUAUAUGUUUUAAAAAAAAAAAUUAAUUUACAAGCUUAUUUAUUUUUAUUUCUUAAAAAUAUUAUCGGCUUUUGUUGAUAAGAUUUGAGGAAAGAAAAAGGGCCACCUCACAUCGACUCUUCCAUGCCCGCAGGCCCCAACGAAGUCGACCACAAAGAUGACGCUAUCUUUUGGAAUUUUUACAGGGAGGUUUUUUCACAUACACACCAACCCAAGCCCACCUUCACCCUAUAAAAACCCCCACCCGGUUCCUCACAGAUCACCCCACUCCAACCAUCAAGCCUAUAUAUCUUCCGAAACUCAACAAUGGGCCUCUGCAAAAUCCUCUCCAUUUCCUCAUUCCUUCUCACCACCCUAUUCUUCACCUCCAGCUAUGCAGCUACGUUCAACAUCCAAAACCAUUGCUCCUACACGGUUUGGGCUGCGGCAGUCCCAGGCGGGGGCAUGCAGCUUGGCUCAGGCCAAUCCUGGAGCCUCAAUGUGAAUGCCGGCACCACUGGAGGCCGUGUUUGGGCCCGUACCAACUGCAACUUCGAUGCGUCAGGGAAUGGGAAGUGUGAGACCGGGGACUGUGGUGGCCUCCUCCAAUGCACGGCCUAUGGUACACCCCCUAACACCUUAGCCGAAUUCGCACUUAACCAAUACAGCAACUUGGACUUCUUUGAUAUAUCUUUGGUUGAUGGAUUUAAUGUUGCUAUGGCCUUUAAUCCUACUUCCAAUGGGUGCACCCGUGGCAUCAGUUGCACCGCCGACAUCGUGGGAGAGUGCCCCGCUGCGCUAAAGACUACCGGUGGUUGCAACAACCCAUGCACCGUUUUCAAGACCGAUGAAUAUUGUUGCAAUUCUGGGAGCUGUAAUGCUACAACUUACUCCGAGUUUUUCAAGACUAGGUGCCCUGAUGCUUAUAGCUACCCUAAGGACGAUCAGACAAGCACCUUCACAUGCCCUUCCGGGACCAAUUAUGAAGUUAUCUUCUGCCCAUAAAUCUAUUAUUUAAAUCAUAUGCUAGUAUGCCUCUACUGGUCUCAACUAUUAGGAGGCAAUGGUAUCCACCUUGGGUUCCAAAAGCCUAGAGGAAUAAAGUUGAGCCCAUAUUCGUGGUCAUGUAUUAAGAUUUCUACACUAGUCGAAGCAAUGGAUGCCUUUUUUUAUAUAGAUAUAUGCUAUCUUCUUCUUCUAAUCUCUGUGGUCCCUUCCAAGUAACAUUUCAUAUAGAUAUAUGAAUUUUAAUGAUUAUUCUUCUUCAGAAUUCUUUUUUUUUUUUUUUUUGAAAAUGAAAUUAAGCUUAACAUGAACAAAAUUCUGCUAUCAUGGUACGGAGAAAUCUUUGCUUGAGAGCGGUGGUUGAGGAUUGAGUCACCUACCCAAGUCAAAUUUUUGUAACAAUUAGAUGUUCAUCUUUAGAGUACUACAAGGAAAAUUGAUGUGAGGAUAAAGACCAGUUAACGAAGCUUGACUGACGUCAAAAUUUUAUUUUAUUUCCUUUUCUCUAAUCCUACCUUGUAGCGGUCCAAAUUAAUUGUCUUGACAAGGAAAUAUAACACAUAGCCAAGGAGGAUUUGCCUAAAAGCCAUCAUCCUGUUUGAAAACUACCUCCCUUAUUGUGCACAUGACACUUUUUCUAAGGGGAAUAAUCCAACCAUACAUUGGACCAAUAAAAUAAGUAUUUUUGGGAUUUUAUUUUUACCUUCACAAAUUGAGUGCGUAAAGUGCGGGGGAAAAAAACUCAUUCAUGCAUUUCAAUAACACUUGUGAAUUUAUUCCAAAAUUACAUUCAAAGUACACCUAUCAUUUUUUUUUACAUCAACUCUCUCACACCUCCAUUUCACCCGCCAUGUUCAUACGGUUUUUUUAUCUCUCACCAACAUAUUCAUAGUCUCAUGUAUUUUCUUAUAAAACAUCUUUAAUUUCAAUUUUUUUUUCACUCUCUAAUCUCUCCAUAUUUAUUGAUUUUAAUCAUUUUUUAGACACAUUAAACUUAAAAUGAUAAUAUAUAAUAAAUAAUUAAUAAUAAAAAAUUAAAUAAAAACAUAAUAUUUAAUGAACAAAAAUUAAAAUAUUAUCUCACAAAUAAUAUACUUGAUAAUUUUAAAUAUUAAUUAUAAUAAUGUUUAAGAUUUAAAUUUAAAAAUUAUGUUUUUAUUAUUUAGAGGCUUAUGAUAUAAUUUUUUUUAUAUUAAUACUAAAUAAAAGAUUUAUUGAUUUUGUAAAUCUUAUCAUACGUAAAAGUAAAAAAUAUCUUUGUAAUAUUAUUUUAUUAUUUUUAUUUUGAUAUAAAAUUUUUCAUUUGUAAUAUUAUUUUAUUAUUUUUAUUUUGAUAUAAAAUUUUUCAUAUCAAAAUCACAAUAAGUGAUAGUAGUUUUUUUUUUGUUAUGGUUUUAAUUGUGGUUUUAACUUUUUACUUGGUUAAAUUUUUUAAUUUUUUAUCAAGAUAAAAUAUAAAAGAAAAUAUGUUUUUUCAUAAAAAAAAAAUACAUUGUUUUAGGGAAAUUGAGAUACUUAUCUCUUUUAUCAUGAUGCAUAUACUCCUUUUGGAAUUCUCGGGAAGUGUUUUUAAAUUCUCUCCCACCUCGAAAAAGACUUUGAAACUUCAAGUAAGAAAAAUAAAUACAUCCUUUAAGAAAAAUGGAUUUUCUUUGAAUUGGUUGCCUCACAAUAUUUUAAAUGAUAAAGACUAAAAUUCAAUUAUGAUAUUAUCGAAAAUAGUCCCAAUCUAACGACUAGUCAAGAUAUUUGAAGUGGCCAAUCGUAUUGGAAGAAUUCCAGGAAGGUGCUCAACAGGGUUGUCUCAUUCAAAUAAGGAAAUUUGAAAUAAAUUUUCUCAAUACCAUGCACCCACGUUUUCUAGAUACAUUCCUACUGUUCUCAGAAUUGAGUGCUCAUGAAUUUACAUAGAAGUUAGGCAGAUUUCUGGAAAUAAUAAAAAUGAUAAUCACGUAGAACCUUGUCUCUGUAAAUUAUUUUAAAUAAAAAAUACUUAUUUUUCUAAAAAUAAGUAUUUUCAAAAUGUAAUAUAUGUUUUUUUUUUUUUUAAAUAAUAAUAAUUUACAAGCUUUUUUAUUUUUAUUUCUUAAAAAAAUUAUGGGCUUUUGUUGAUAAGAUUUGAGGAAAAACAAAAAGGGCCACACUACAUUGACUCUUCCAUGCCUACAGGCCACAACGAAGUCGACCACAAAGAUGACGCCAUCUUUUGGAAUUUUUACAGGACGGUUUUUCCACAUACACACCAACCCAAGCCCACCUUCACCCUAUAUAAACCCCCACCCAUUUCCUCACAGAUCACCCCACUCCAACCAUCAAGCCUAUCUUCCGAUCCUCAACAAUGGGCCUCUGCAAAAUCCUCUCCAUUUCCUCAUUCCUUCUCACCGCCCUAUUCUUCACCCCCAGCUAUGCAGCCACCUUCAACAUCCAAAACCAUUGCUCCUACACGGUUUGGGCUGCGGCAGUCCCAGGCGGGGGCAUGCAGCUUGGCUCAGGCCAAUCCUGGAGCCUCAAUGUGAAUGCCGGCACCACUGGAGGCCGUGUUUGGGCCCGUACCAACUGCAACUUCGAUGCAUCAGGGAAUGGGAAGUGUGAGACCGGGGACUGUGGUGGCCUCCUCCAAUGCACGGCCUAUGGUACACCCCCUAACACCUUAGCCGAAUUCGCACUUAACCAAUUCAGCAACUUGGACUUCUUUGAUAUAUCUUUGGUUGAUGGAUUUAAUGUGCCUAUGGCCUUUAAUCCUACUUCCAAUGGGUGCACCCGUGGCAUCAGUUGCACCGCCGACAUCGUGGGAGAGUGCCCCGCUGCGCUAAAGACUACCGGUGGUUGCAACAACCCAUGCACCGUUUUCAAGACCGAUGAAUAUUGUUGCAAUUCUGGGAGCUGUAGUGCUACAGAUUACUCAAGGUUUUUCAAGACUAGGUGCCCUGAUGCUUAUAGCUACCCUAAGGACGAUCAGACAAGCACCUUCACAUGCACUGCCGGUACCAAUUAUGAAGUUGUCUUCUGCCCAUAAAUCUAUUAUUUAAAUCAUAUGCUAGUAUGCCUCUACUAGUCUCAACUAUUAGGAGGCAAUGGUUUCCACCUUGGGUUCCAAAAGCCUAGAGGAAUAAAGUUGGGCACAUUUUCGUGGUCAUGUAACAAGAUUUCUACACUAGUAGAAGUAAUGGAUGUUUUUUUUUUUUAUAUAUAUAUAUAUAUAUAUAGAUUUAUGCGAUCUUCUUUCUUUCUAACCUCUAUGGUCCCGUCCAAGUAAUAUUUCAUAUAUAUUUUAUUCUAUAUAAUAUCUGCGGAUAAGAUCGGUUAAUGAAGCUUGACUAAAGUCAAAAUUUUAUUUUAUUUCAUUAUCCUACUUGGAAACUACCUUCCUUACUGGGUACAUGGCAUUUUUUUUUUAAUAAUAUUUGACUCAGGUUUCCGAGAAAACAUUGUAGCAGUCCAAACACGGCGUAAAUUGGGACUUUUCUCAAUAGUAGAGUAAUUUAAAAAAGUUAUUCUUCAAUUACUGUAGUGGAAGAAGUUAUUACAAAUAUAGGGUAGUUUUUGCCAGAUAGGAGAGAGGAGAGAGGAGAGAGGGUGAGAGAGAGGAGAGAGGAAAGAGGAGAUAGGAGAGAGGAGAGAGGAGAGAGGGUGAACGGGUAAAAUUUUUUAAAAAAGGGAACUCGUCUCUUGAAGAGACGAGUUCCAUGAAAAAAAAUAUAUAUAUAAUUUUUAAAAAAUUCUCAAAUUAAAAAAAAAAAAAUUGGAACUAAAGGCUUGACACGAGUUCCCAUGGGAAAAAUAUAUAUUAUUUAUUUAAAAUAUAUUUUUCAUUUAAAAAAAAUCCCAAAAAAAAUAAAAAAUAAAAUUUCUAAAAGGAACUCGUCUCUUUUUUAAAAAAAAUAUAUUUUUUAUUUUAAAAUCCCAAAUUUAAAAAAAAAAAACGCAAUUCCAAAAGGAACUCGUCUCUUUAAAAAUAUAUAUAUUUAAAAAAAAAAAUUCCUAAAGGGAACUCGUCUCUUGAAGAGACGAGUUCCCUUUAGGAAAAAAAAUAUUUUGUUUUUAAAAUAUAUUUUUUAUUUUAAAAAAUCCCAAAUAAAAAAAAAUAAAAAAUAAAAAACAAUUCCAAAGGGAACUCGUCUCUUCAAGAGACGAGUUCCCAUGUAAAAAAAAAUAUUUUUUUAAAAAAUAUAUAUAUUUAAAAAAAAAAAUUCAGAGUUACUUUAGGAAAAAAAAUAUUUUUUUUUUAAAAUAUAUUUUUUAUUUUAAAAAAUCCCAAAUUUAAAAAAAAAAAAACACAAUUCCAAAGGGAACUCGUCUCUUCAAGAGACGAGUUCCCAUGUAAAAAAAAUAUUUUUUUUAAAUAUAUAUAUUAAAAAAAAAAAAACAAUUCCUCAAAAUUCCUAAAGGAACUCGUCUNNNNNNNNNNNNNNNNNNNNNNNNNNNNNNNNNNNNNNNNNNNNNNNNNNNNNNNNNNNNNNNNNNNNNNNNNNNNNNNNNNNNNNNNNNNNNNNNNNNNAAAGGAACUCGUCUUUUGGAAGAGAACGAGUUCCCAUGUAAAAAAAAAAAAAAAUUUUAAAAAAAAUAUAUAUUUAAAAAAAUAAAAAUUCAGGGUUCCCUUUAGGAAAAAAAAUAAUUUUUUUUUAAAAAAAAUAUUUUUUUUUUUAAAAAAUCCCCAAUUAAAAAAAAAAAAAAAAAAAAAAAACCCAAUUCCAAAGGGAACUCGUCUCUUCAAGAGACGAGUUCCCUUGUAAAAAAAAUUAUUAUUUUUAAAUAUAUAUAUAUUAAAAAAAAAAAAAAAAAAAAACAAUUCCUCAAAAUUCCUAAAGGAACUCGUCUCUUCAAGAGACGAGUUCCCAUAUAAAAAAAAAAAUUAAAAAAAAAUAUAUAUUUAAAAAAAUAAAAAUUCAGAGUUCCCUUAGGAAAAAUAAUAAUUUUUUAAAAAAAUAUAUUUUUUAUUUUAAAAAAUCCCAAAUUAAAAAAAAAAAAAAAAAAAAAAAACACAAUUCCAAAGGGAACUCGUCUCUUAUUUUUUUUUUUUCCAUAGGAACUCGUCUCUUCAAUAGACGAGUUCCCUUGAUGAAUUGUUUUUUUUUUUUUUUUUUUUAAAUAUAUUUUUUUAAAAAAAAUUUGUUUUUACGUGGGAACUCAUCUUAAAGAGACGAGUUCCCUUGAGGAAUUGUUUUUUUAUUUUAUUUUAUAUUUUAUUUUAAUAUAUAUAUUUUAAAAUAAAAAAUAUUUUUAAGAGACGAGUUCCUUUGGAAUUGUGUUUUUUUUUUUUUUUUUUAAUUUGGGAUUUUUUAAAUUUUUUAAAAAAAUAAUUUUUUUUCCUAAAGGGAAUUCUGAAUUUUUAAUUUUUUAAAUAUAUAUAUUUAAAAAUUUUUUUUUUUUUAAAAAACAAAAAUUUUUUUUAAAAAAUAUAUAUAUUUAAAAAAAAAUUAUAUUUUUUNNNNNNNNNNNNNNNNNNNNNNNNNNNNNNNNNNNNNNNNNNNNNNNNNNNNNNNNNNNNNNNNNNNNNNNNNNNNNNNNNNNNNNNCGUCUCUUCAAGAGACGAGUUCCCUUUGGAAUUGUGUUUUUUUUUUUUUUUUUUCUUUUUUUUAAUUUGGGAUUUUUUAAAAUAAAAAAUAUUUUUUUUUUCCUAAAGGGAACUCUGAAUUUUUUUUUUAAAUAUAUAUAUAUUUUUUAAAAAAAUAUUUUUAAAAAAAAAAUAUUUUUUUUUGUUUUUUUUUUUUUAAUUUGGGAUUUUUUAAAAUAAAAAAUAUAUUUUAAAAAAAAAAUAUUUUUUUUCCUAAAGGGAACUCGUCUCUUCAAAAAACAAGUUACCUUUAGGAAUUUUUUUUUUAAAUAUAUAUAUUUUAAAAAAAAAAUAUUUUUUUUACAUGGGAACUCGUCUCUUCAAAAGACGAGUUCCUUUUGGAAUUGUGUUUUUUUUUUUUUUUUUUUUAAUUUAGGAUUUUUUAAAAUAAAAAAUAUAUUUUUAAAAAAAAUUAUUUUUUUUCCCAAGGAACUCGUCUCUUGAAGAGACGAGUUCCCUUUAGAAAUUUUUUUUUUUUUUUUUUGGAUUUUUUUAAAUAAAAAAUAUAUUUUAAAUAAAUAAUAUAUUUUUUUUCCCAGGGAACUCGUCUGAAGCCUUUAGUUCCAAAUUUUUUUUUUUAAUUUGAGAAUUUUUUAAAAAUUAUAUAUAUAUAUUUUUUCAUGGAACUCGUCUCUUCAAGAGACGAGUUCCCUUUUUUAAAAAAUUUUACCCGUUCAUCCUCUCUCCUCUCUCCUAUCUCCUCUUUCCUCUCUCCUCUCUCCUCUCUCUCACCCUCUCUCCUCUCUCCUCUCUCCUCUCUCCUAUGUGGCAAAAACUACCCUAUAUUUGUAAUAACUUCUUCCACUACAGUAAUUGAAGAAUAACUUUUUUAAAUUACUCUACUAUUGAGAAAAGUCCGCGUAAAUUGUCAUAGCCCUUUAUUGCAGAGAAUAGUGGAAAAGAAAGUUGUUAAAAGUGGCAUAAGUAAUUCAAACCAUAACCCUAUAUUGAGGAGAGUUAUGACUUAUGACACAUAAAUAUUGAAGUUCCACUUGUCUAUCAAUUAAAUAAAUAUAUGUUUUAAUUUAUUUUUGUAAAAAAAAUCAAUAAGAUUUUUAAUAUUUAUUUUACUAAUUUUAUUUAAAGAACUUAUGAUUUAAAAACGAGUUUAAUAUGAUUUAGAUAAGAAAUAUUUUAAUAUUUAAUAUAAAUUUUAUAAUACUAAUAUUACCUAUUAAAAAUUAAGAUUUUGGUUGCACCAUCAACAUUUAGUUAAAUCUAAAAAUAAAAAACUAUUUCAAACAAAGCUUUAUUUAUUCAUCUAUCAUGCUAAUGGAGCCUCAGAAGUUAAAAAGAUUAACUGGGCCAUGGUUAUAGAAGCCCAAAAGAUUUAUUGAUGGGGCGGAGCAGGUGGGCCUGGCCUGCCAUGUGCAGCUGUAUUUUUUUGACUUGUCUUCAAGACAACAAGUCAACGCCUCCGUUCAAUGAAGCGGAUGUAUCGGAAAAACCCAAAAGCUUCAUUUUCCCCUCAAAACGCGUAAACCCCAAAAUGAGCUUCUUCUGCAACUGCAGCAACCUCUCUACUUCCUUCUGCCUCCUCAUCCUCCCGUUCUUCUUCACCUUCAUCCAUGCAACCACUUUCGAAAUCCAAAACAGCUGCCCCUACACCAUCUGGGCAGCCGCCGUACCCGGCGGCGGAAGGCAACUCGACCAAGGCCAGACCUGGAACCUUUCAGUGAGCUCCAACAUAACGGGCCGCAUCUGGGGCAGAACCAAGUGCAGCUUCGAUGAAGCCGGAAGGGGGAGCUGCGAGUCCGGUGGAUGUGGAGGCCUCCUUGAAUGCCAAGAAUAUGGUUCACCGCCCAACACCAUUGCCGAGUACACCCUAAACCAAUCCAACAAAACUGAUUUAUUCGAUGUUUCUCUGGUGGAUGGAUUCAACCUUCCAAUGGAGUUUAGCCCAACUUCUGAUGGGUGCAGAGGGGCCAAUUGUACAGGCGACAUUAACGGGCCGUGCCCAAAUGAGUUGAGGGACCCGGGUGGGUGUAACAACCCAUGUACCGUUUUCAAAAAUUCUCAGUACUGUUGCGAUUCCGGGAGCUGUGGCCCUACAACUUACUCCGAGUUUUUCAAGGAUAGGUGCCCAAAUGCAUACAGUUACCCUGAGGAUGAUUCAACCAGUUUGUUUACGUGCUCCACUGGCUCUAACUAUCGUGUAGUCUUCUGCCCUUGAAUUAUGGGUUGCUAUUAAUUGUUUGAAGUAUUUUCUGAAUUGCCGUGUAAUUUUAUGCUAUGAGGGUAUUUCUUCCUAAGUUUUGUUGGAUGAUCCGUUGAAAUAAAUACUCGAUAACUUCUGUAUUAUUUUAAAAAGUAAUGUAUCAAUAUGCCCAUUUUUAAAAGCUAUAGUGUUAUAAAUUUCAAACUCUUUAAAAUUUUGAGAGAUGAUACUAAGAACUAGCAUACUUUUGUAAAAGAAGUCAUAAAAGGAGAGUCAUCUAAAAAUUUUAAACUUUUAAAAUUUUUCACUAAAACCAAUGUCUCUCUCCGCUUGUUGACUCGUCUGGAAGUCAAGUCCAACGACCCCAUAGCCGUCAACCGAAACCGUUCAUGAAAAAUCUGAUCACCUUCCUCGCCAAAAUGCCAAAAUCCCAAGAUGACUUUCUUCAGCAGCUGCAACAACCUCUCCACUUCCUUCUUCCUCCUCAUCACCACUCUCUUCUUCACCUUCCUCCACGCUUCCGCGCUUCCACCUUCCACAUCCAAAACAACUGCCACUUCACCCUGUGGGCCGCGCACGGCCGUUCCCCGCGGCGGAACGCAACUCUGAUGGGUGGGCCAAAAAAUUCCCAAAUUAUUGGGAGUGGGCCUUUAUAAGUCCCAAAUUGCUAGGGGUGGGCCAAUGGGUAGUGAUGAUGUCAUAGUGCUCUAGCCCAAUUUUUUUUUAAAAUAAACAAAUAAAGGAUUGUAAUCAGUUUAAAAUGUUGAUAUACGGACAAAAAUUGAACAUUCAGACUAAUAAAAGUUAAUAAAUCCCAUACCAAUUGUUACUAAAUUUAAAAUCUAUUUAUCUAAUGAAAAAAUUUAGAGAAGUUAAAAAACUUUAACAAAAAUAGGUAUAAUUCCAAUAGAGAUUAUAUUUGACAAUUUUUCAUACUAGUUCAUGGACAGAUAAUGAAAGAAAAGUUGAAUCAUAUUUUGUUUAAUUUACUCUUCUUUUUUUUUAAUAUUUUUAAAAUUAUAUAUAUUUUUCAUUUCUCCGUAUUUUCCCUUUUUUCUCUAAAAAAAUAUGUGAAUAUAACUUUGUUCAUUUACAAUUAAUAAUGUCUUUUUCCGCUAGUUUUCUCCAAGUGAACGAUAAAUGUACUUGCAACAAAGUGUGUUCAAAUUAUUUUUUCGGGUAUUUUUUUUGAAGCUUAAGUUCAUUUUUAGAAGAAAUAGAUAAUAGUUUUAUUAUAAUAGAGUUGUAAUGUUUUAUGUAUUUUUUUAAUACUUUAAACGUCUGUAAUUGACCUUGAAAAUAACAGUUUUUGAGCUUAUAGUAAGACGUUUAUACUUGUGGAGGCAUCCGAUCUAAUGAUUUGAAAUAUUUAUUAUUUGCGCAGUGAAUAAAGACGUUGAUAGGAUAUCCUUUUAUCAUUUUAAUAUUUCGACGGAGAGAGGCUUUUAUCCAGAUGGAUGUAGGACCCACAGACUUCUCAUUAAUUUUUGAUAAUUAUUUUAUAUUUUAUUUUAUUUUUAAAAAAUUGUUUUCAAAUGACAUCGUCAAAUAGGCUGUUCGUAAUCAUCACUUCCAAUGCAACAUCUUUCGUUGAAUGGAAACUCAGAAAAUCUAAAGUAUCAUCGUAAAAUUCAUGAGGAAUAUGCCAGAAGAUGACCGUUUCAAACCUUUUAUAAUAUUAUUAUAUUUUCUGUAUUUUCUUUCCGCAAAUUUUCCUGAACUAAACACGAGUGAUAAACUACACCUUGAUUUGCGGGGAAAAUCCAUUGGCUAGAGAUUGACUGAAAGCCAAAACUUAGGCUUCGUUGCAAGACAUUUUGGCAGCCAACGACUCAGGCAAACACCGUAAAAGUCUAAAGAGACGCUGUCCGCCCAAACAAUCCACAAAUCUCUUAUCUUUUUAUCAUCUAAUACUCGGAUUCUAGAAAAGUCUACUGUAUCUCUUAGGUUAUAUUUAGUUUCGAAAAAUACAAAAGAAAGAAAAAAAAUAUUAAAAAAAAUAAUUUUUUCAUAUUCGAUUGUCUUAUAAAUUAUUUUAAAAAAAAUUAAAUAUGAUUAAAAUUAAUUAAAAAUUUAUGGAUUUUAAAAUUAUUUAAUCUUUAUAUUGAUGAGUUAAAAUAAAUAAAAAUAAUUUUUCAUCUUUUAACUCUAUUUUUUAUUUUUCUUCAUUUUUUUCUUUUAUUUUUUUUCUUUUUUUUCUUUUUCUUUUUUAUAUAUAUUUUCCCUUAAAUUUUAUGAGAACCACAUAUAAUCUUAAAAUUUUAAUAAUUUUAAUUUAUCAUUCUAAUCAUUCUAGAAAAUUUCAUCAUUAAAAAAUGUAAGAAAAAAAAAUUAGGGUGAAUAAAUUAUUUUUAUAUAUUAUUUUAAACUUAUUUUAUUUAUUUUAAAUUUUAAUAUAAAAAUUGUAUGAGCUUGUAAUUAAAUUUAUUUUAUUAAUUUUUUUUUAUAAUAUAGUCAAACAUAUAUAAAAAAAAAUCAAUUUUAUUAACAAUUUUUUUCUUUUCUUCAUUGAUUUGCUCCUGACGCCAUUUCAUCUAGAAUGGCAUAGAUAAUUUAAAGCAACAGUCAAAGGUCAUCCAAAAAAUUGAACAUGAUAGGUUGUUCAAAUGCAAGUUUACCGGUUCCCCGGAUUCUUCUAAGUUCUGGCAGCUUGACUUCACUUCCGCAUUCUGCAUUGGAGAUGUCACAGAUGUAUGGCCAUGAUUAAUGCCGUUCUCUUCAGUCAUUCCUAUGUGUGUGGACGCGUGAUGAAUUGGAAUCUAAGCAGGAAAGAUGCACGCUCCAUUCAAGUCACGUUUUCUCGUGGGAGGAUUGUCUUGAUUUUAUUAUGCGUGUAUUCUCCUGACUCUACCAUGGCCACUUGGCUUGCCAAGUCUAGAGUAAAGCCAUGAGUGGACAAUUCCAUUUCUUUCUUCAUCUUUUUCCACGGAAUCAAGUCCAACAAAAUGCUGAAAUUUCUAUUCGAAUUAACCCACUUCUCACGUAAUCUCCCAAACCAUUGCCACCAUUCAUCUAUAAAAACCCUACCAUACAUGCAUCUCCAAAACAUCAAUUAACCCAAACCCAUGUUAGUGCUCUGUCUUGGCUUGCCCUGUUUAAGAACAUUCUCUUUUAUAUAUAUUGUUAUACAACUUUCUACGUGAUAUGUUCUCAUUGGUUUAAUGUAUUACUAAAAAAUGUUCUUCAGGAUUUUGGAUGAGGUUGUGUUUGCAUUAACAUGAUCACUUUCAAAUUAUUUUUUGUAGGCAUGGUUCGUGCAGCUAUCAAGUACAAAUAGUUUGUGUAACUGGAUGUUGAUCGUCAUCUUCAUUGUGGUUACUUUUAAUAUCACUUUGUCUAAAUUAUUCUAAGACUAAACAUGAAAGUUCAAUAUCAUUUUGUUUAAAAUAGUAUAAGAAGGAACAUUGAAUAUGCAAAACAUUCAUACGAAGGACAAUCCGAUAGAUGCCUUAAUAAAAUCAAUUAACACUGAUAAAUUCAAUUAGUGCAAAUCCUCUUUUGAUUUCACAAUAACAUAAGCAACAUAUGAUAGGGUAAAACUUAGAAAUAUGAUUUCAAGUGAAAUAAUAUUAACGUUAAAGUCAUCUCACAUAAGAAAAAAAAAGAAAAAAAAAAGAGCUUCUUUAUGCUAUCUGAGGGGCAUCCAUCCUUGAUAUUCUUCAUCCUAAAAAAAACUUUUAUUUUUUUGCAAGUUUUUAUGUUAUCUCCUCUAAAUCGUAAAAAGAGAGGUUACAAUUUUGUAUUUAUAUGAUGAAUAUUUUUUAGUUUUGUUCUUUGGGUUUCCUUCAUAAUUAAAAGGGUUUAAUAUGUAAGUAUUUUUAAUUAUUUUAUUUAUUCUAUUACAUUAUUAUUUUAUUAUUCUAUUUUUAAAUUAUGGGAGCAUCAUUUCAAAACACUACCUUUAAAAAAAUAAAUAAAAAUAUAGUUUUUUAUAUUUGAGAUUUUAAACAAAAUUUUAUUUAUAAAAAUAAUUAAAAUUACGUUUUGCCUAACAUGCGUACGUUGUAGUCAUCCGCGGAGUUGGUUCGAGAGGACAUUGGAAAAUCACACAAAGUGAUCAUGUGCCUUUAAUUGGAAAAUAAACAGUGGAUUUUCUCUUCUCUAGAAUUGGUUGCUUCUCAGAUAAAGGUCAAAAUUCAAUUAUGAUAUUAUGGAAAAUAGUCCCAGUCGAACCAAUUUUCAAGGCAUUUGAAGUGGCCAUUCAUUCAAGAAAGGAAGUUUGAAAUAAAUUUUUCCAACGCAACGCGGCACGCACCCGGCCAUGUUUUCAAGAUGCCUUCCUACCUGUCCUCAGAAUUCAGUAUUCAUGAAUUUCCAUAAAAGUUAGACAGGUUUCUGAAAAUAAUAAAAAUGAUAAUGAUGUGGACCCCUUGAAAUAAAUUCAGUAUUCAUGAAUGGGCAAUUCUGGUUCUUUCAUCAUCUUUUUAUCUGUAAUCAAUCAUCCAAUCAAGUCCAACAAAAUGCUGAAAUUUCCAUUCGAAUUAACCCACUUCUCACGUAAUCUCCCAAACCAUAGCCACCCUUCAUCUAUAAAAACCCCACCAUACAUCCAUCUCCAAGACACCGCAUUAGCCCAAACCCAUAAGAAUUCUAAAUACUUCGAUUCUGAUCAUCUGAUUCAUUCAACAUCAAAAUGCGCUUCACCACCACCCUCCCAAUUCUCUUCCCUCUCCUCCUCAGCCUCCUCUUUACCUCCACCCAUGCAGCCACCUUCGACAUCCUCAACAAAUGCACCUACACCGUCUGGGCAGCCGCCUCCCCCGGUGGUGGACGGAGACUUGACUCCGGCCAGUCCUGGACAAUCACCGUCAACCCCGGCACCACCAAUGCUCGCAUCUGGGGCCGAACCUCAUGCACCUUCGACGCCAAUGGGCGUGGCAAAUGCGAAACUGGUGACUGCAAUGGCCUCCUCGAAUGCCAGGGCUACGGUUCUCCCCCAAACACCCUCGCUGAAUUCGCUCUAAACCAGCCCAAUAACCUCGACUACAUCGACAUCUCCCUUGUCGAUGGCUUCAACAUCCCCAUGGACUUCAGCGGCUGCCGCGGCAUCCAGUGCUCCGUUGACAUCAAUGGGCAAUGCCCCAGUGAGUUGAAGGCCCCCGGUGGAUGCAACAACCCGUGUACAGUGUUCAAGACCAAUGAGUAUUGUUGCACUGAUGGACCUGGAAGCUGUGGUCCGACCACAUACUCCAAAUUCUUCAAGGACAGGUGCCCAGAUGCUUAUAGCUACCCUCAGGAUGACAAAACCAGCUUGUUCACCUGUCCUUCUGGUACCAACUACAAGGUCACGUUUUGCCCUUGAAAGUUGGAACUCAUUUUCCUUCACUUUCUUGGUGAAUGAAAAGAGUACAAGACACCCAGGAAAGUUUUAGUUUUCAGCGUAGAGAAGAAUAAAUUUGUGCACGUAAUGAUAGUAUUGUGCGCAUGUGAUGUGAUAAUCAGUCUGUAAUGUGAUUCCAGUGAAAAAUAAAUGAAGAAGCCUACUUACUCAUUUUCACCUUGGAUGAAACUUGUCAACCUAUUUAACUUCUUUAACAAAAACAUAGUUUUUGGGUUCAACCUCCAUAAUACAAAACCCUUCAUUAUUUUUUGGCCUCAUUCAUUUAUUUAUUUAUUUAUAAAAAUAACUCUUUCUUUUAAAACACACAUAUAAAUACUUGAAAUAGUUAAGGACAUUUAUGUUAAAAAUUGAUUACUCUUCAAACAAAAACAUGGAAGAGGUUAAAUUCAUAAAUAUGAAGACUAUUUCAUCCCUUUUAACUAAUUAAUUCUUAAAUGAAUUACAUAAUAUAUUACUUGUUUAAUAAUUUGAUAAUAUUUGAAUUUAUAUUUUUAAUACGAUUAUUAUUUGUAUCAGAUUUAGAUUAACUUAUAUAAUAGAAAGCUUAGGCUUUAACACUAUACUAAUAUAACCAUCUUACACAAAUUGCCACCCCAUUUGUUGUUGGGACUGGUUGGAGGAACACACCUAACCCAGCCCACCAAAUUUGCAACUGGAUGGCUUGAAAUUUAGGCCCAUGAUGUCGGCCCAAUUUAUAUUAAUGAGCCCAAACCCAUCAGCAUACACUUUAUGAAGGACAUGAAAUCCAAAUAGGCUGAUAUGAAACGAACCCCUAUAAAGAAAAAGCCAGCAAAUCCCAAACUGAAAUUCAGAAUUGAAUAUGUGAGAAUCUUUCAAUUUCCAACAACACCCGACAGCGGCCCAUACUGAUAUAGGCUGUCUUCAAGCAGAAUAUUUUUUUUUUUACUACUAGAUCUGAAACAAGUAGUGGAAGCCCGAACAGGCCCAAUAGAUUCCUUCGACACCCGACAAUAAUCUACGAAUCAAACAGGUUUCUAAUUUGAGUACAGAUCUAAUAAACUAAUUAAUAAUUCUUUUUUCUUUUCUGUAAAAUAAAAAAGGACUUUUGAGCUUGAAUUUUUUUUCAGAUUAAAUCUAAGCGGUCAAUAAUAUUUCAAAGAAAUGUUUUUUUUAAUAAUAAAGAUUAAUUUACUAGUUUAGGGAUAGUAAAUAAACUAUAUUUAUUGAAGCCCGAUCCAAGCUUCAGUGACAAGGGUGAUAAAACAAUACUUUUAUAAAUCUAGAGAGUAAUCAUGAAUACCUCUAAAAUCAUAAUAAAAUCAAUUUAAAAUUAUUAUUUAGAUUUUAUAUUUUAAAAAAGAGUUAAAUUUCUUAUAAAUUAAUAAAGCUUAGUUUCAAGGACAAGUGUUAGGAGACCAUGUGUGAUAAAAAUAAAAAUAAAAACCCCAAAUGGGAAUAAGAUUUUUAAUAUUUUUUAAAUGUUCUCAUAAAAUUAUUAUGAAAAUCGUAAUUAUUGGAUCUUUGAUAGUCGUAUUUGAGAGGCUAAAUUAAAUCUUUUAUAAUAUUCAAUUAUUAUUGUUUGAAUGAUUUAUCCAUUUUAUUUAAAAGUAGUAUAUUGUUACACCCUAAUAAUAAUUAUAAAAAUUAUUUAAUAUUUUUAAUAAUUAAGAAAUUAUUUUCAAUUUUAUAAUAAUUUGUGAAGUUUUAAUUGAAAAAAAACAUUUUUAAUUAGAUUUAUCCGAUUUGAAAGUAAAUUUUAAGAGAAUUUCUAAAUUUUGUAUUUGAAUCGGAAGUUAUUAAACUUCUCACCAAUUAACAUAAAUUUAAAAGUAAUUUUUUAACUAUCAUGUUUUAUAAAUCUUUGUGUAAAAGUUUUCCAAUCAAACUUUUUGACUUUAGACCUGCGUGGGAUUGAAAGAUGUCCCACACACACCACGCGGCAUCAAACUCCUUGAUAUUAAUCUUGAUCUUAUCCUCGCCAAAUAGGAGGCCAUGAUUCCAUAUUUCCAUUACACUCUGUCACGGACCACGGCCACCUUCCCAAAUCCCCAGAUCAACAAAAACCAGCACUCCAUGCCUCGGUACCUGGGCACAAAAAGUCAAAGUAGCCGCCUCCAUAAAAUAAGUGGGACACUGAUCGACACAUGGCAUCCUGGCCUGGACUGCAGAGCAGAGGAUCAUCCCCAAACUUUUAUCCUCACGAGGAGCCGCCUGUACUUUAAUGAGAAAAGUAGAGACGUGCCUUUAUUUGCACCAAGCCAAAACGCAGCGUUUCCUCUAUAUAAACCCCCUGGUGUCAUUGAUGAGGCACAAGCCAAAAUACACCACACCUGACAUCUAUACUCCGAUUGUCAGCUCCAAGCUUCCCAGUAUGAGCGACUUGCGCAUCCUCUUUAUCUUCUUCCUCUGCUUCAUCUCCUCCAUCCAUGCAGCCACCUUCCAAAUCACCAACCAGUGUUCUUACACCGUCUGGGCAGCUGCCUCUCCCGGUGGCGGCCGCCGCCUGGACCGCGGCCAAAGCUGGACCCUCAACGUGCCCGCUGGCACCAAAAUGGCCCGAAUCUGGGGUCGAACCAACUGCCACUUCGAUGCCAGUGGUCGUGGCCGGUGCGAUACCGGUGACUGUGGCGGCGUCCUGAACUGUCAAGGCUGGGGUUCUCCACCAAACACACUAGCAGAAUACGCCUUGAACCAGUUUGGUAACAAGGAUUUUUUCGAUAUAUCUCUCGUUGAUGGGUUCAACAUCCCUAUGGACUUCAGCCCCACCAGCCGCGGGUGCCGUGGAAUCAAGUGCACGGCGAAUAUCAACGGGCAAUGCCCGCAGGCGUUGAAAGCUCCGGGAGGGUGCAAUAACCCGUGUACCGUGUUCAAGACUCCGCAGUACUGCUGCAACAAUAUUAAAUGUGGACCGACAGAUUAUUCGAGAUUUUUCAAGACCAGGUGCCCAGAUGCGUACAGUUAUCCUCAGGAUGAUCCCACAAGCACAUUUACAUGCCCUGGUGGAACCAACUAUAGGGUUGUGUUCUGCCCUAGAGGCUCUUCCAACAAUAUUUUUCCUCUGGAGAUGUAUGGAAGUGAUAGUGAGGAGUAAAGGGUCUUCAAAAUCCGAGUGAAAUAAGGCAUGUAUGUGAGCCCUCCUCAAUUAUCUAUCAGUACUAGUAGGUUGUCCAGCAUAAUGUUACAGUUCUAUGAACUUGUAGCUUUCUUUUCAUCUGUAGCUUUCAUGAUCUCCAUGAGAUGGAAGGUGAAAAGACAAUAACGGAAAAUUAGUCGUACAUCCUGUUUAGUGUCGUGUUUGUUUGUCUUGAAUGAAAAUAGGCGAUGUGGGAUAACGUUGUUUGACUUAAUGAUUGCCUGGUUCACCUAUUUACAGGUGGACCAUUCCAGUAAGACGAGUUUGGCUGAAUAUUGAGGGCCCACAGAAAGAAAAUUUGGAAAAAUUAAGCUAUGUUUGGUUCUCAGAAAAUUUGAGGAAAAAUAUAAGGGAAAGAAAAUACAAAGAAAAAAUAGAAGAAAAGAAAAAGUGAAAAAAAAUAAAAAAUGGAUUAAAAGUUGAUAAGUUAUUUUUAUUUUUUACUUCAAACUCAUUUUAUUUAUUUUAACUCAUUAAUAUAAAGAUUAAAUAAUUUUAAACUAUAUAGGUUUUUAAUUAGUUUUAAUUAUAUUUGAUUUUAUUUUAUAUUUUUUAUAAGAUAAUCAAACAUGAAAAAAAAAAAAUUUUAUAUUUUUUUUCUUUUCUUAUUAUUUUUCGGUAACCAAAGAUAAACACGUUUACCAAACACAUGGAUUAAUUAAUGUUUUCUCAGUGCAACCUUUUGAAUUGAAAAAGUCUUCUUAUCCAUAUAUCUUUCCUCCACUACUUUUUUCUCAUCGGAUUCUGACAGCUCCACUUAGUCGCACAAAAAAUCGCAAAAUCCCUAUUAUGAAGCCCCAUACUAGGGAAUACCGUAUACCAUUUAUUGCACCUUGUGAUGAUCAUGUAAAACCAUGGAAUCUAGAACCCUGAACCCUGAACCCUGCCAUCUACACCAAUAUUUCACGAAAUCUAAUCAUCCUAUCAAGGAGUUUAGGACUGCAAAUUUGUAACCAUGGUGAGAUGUGGCCCAGUCCAACUUAAUUGAAUGGGCCGCAUUUGGGUCGCAGUCUCAUGCUUGAAGUUAAGGCCUCCUAGGGCCCAACUUAUACAUGGUAUCAACUAAUCCUCCUAUCUUUUAUUUAUUUAUUAUUUUUUUCUCCCAUAAAUUUAAAAAAAAAAUAGAAAAUCAUGUAUGGAUACACUUCUUAUUUUUCACUUUUAAAAUUAGAAAAUAAUAAAAACUUUUAUAUAAAAUAUAAUGGCCCUUACAUAAAAAUAUAAACAAACCUUGUCACCUUGAUUUUUUUUUUUAAUAUUUUUUAAAAUCAUUAUCUUUAUAGGAUAAGUCAAGAGCUCUUACAUUUUAUGUAAGGAUUAAUAUCAUUUUUUAUUUUAAAAAUAAAAAAUAAAAAGUGUAUAUGAUAUCAAGUAUCACAUUUCCUUAAUUAAGAUGUAUUCUUUAUAGAGACUUUCUUAUUUUAUUUAUAUUUCCUCCUUAUAUUUCUAUAUUAUGAUAUGUUUUUUUUUAAUUAUCAUUACUAUGUAUAUGUAUGUUUAAUAAUUAAACAAUUGGCUUUUUAUAUGAAAUAUUGUUAUAUAAUAAAAAAAAAUUAAUUCUUUCUCAUUAUUUUCUCUUAUUAGAAUAUUGGAUAGAUUACGAAAUCACUUAAUUUUCUUACAUUUUUUUGUCUUCUUUUUAUUUGAAUUUUUUUAUAAUUUUUAUAAAUAAGUGUUUUUCUUACUCCAUAGGUUCUAUUUACUAAUAUACAAAACUCCAAGUGUAAUCUAUGUCAACUUUAUCCGUUGGCAUGAUGUGUUGACUUUGACUUUUGAUUUCUUUUAAUGUAAUAAAAGUGUUCAUAGACUAAUCGUCCAAUAUUAUUAUUAUGUGAUUGAGGGGUGUCUUCAUAAUUUUAUAUUGCAAAGUGGAUGAAGCUAAAAGGGAAUUAUGUAAAUAUGCAUUAUUUAAAAAAUAUAAAUAAAAAGAGAAUCGAAUAAAAAAAUAUUUUUUAUAAAAAGUACAUUUUAAAAAAAAUAAUUCUUAUUUUAUGCAUUGGGAUGAUACCUGCCUCACGUUACCUAAACAUAUUUUUACAUGUAUUUUGGUCCUACAUAACAUUAUUUUAGAUUUAAAAUACAUUUAUUAAUAAAAUAAUAUAUCAUUGUGGACCCCGUAUUUCGGCUCAAUGCGUUUCCCACUCGAUGGCGAGCUCGAUUUUCAUUUUGAAAAAUGAUUUAAUUGGUUAAAAAAAAUGACUUGGAGUCGCCACUUAUUUUUGUUUUAUUUUUAAAAGGGUAAACAAAAUAAGAAAAAAAAAAAAAACCUAAGUGUGACUCCUUAUUUAGGGUGGUCUGUGAAAAACCGGAUCGAGUUCGGGGGUCAGGUUACUUAUCGAGAAGGUACGGUAGAGACCGUAGUACCCCUCUAAGUCUCUAAAGUCGGGUCUCUACUAAUAAAAUGAAACAAUCAUGGCAAUUGAUUAAUCGAGCAUGGAUACCAGAUAAAUAUUACUCAAAACAAAAUAAUUGAAUGAAUAGAAGAGACAAAGAAUGUACCUGAGUGAUGAACCGGUUUACUUCAAUGAAAGCGAAUGUUAGCAAUUAAACACAGAAUAAUCACAUGCAUGUCAUAGAGUGGAAUAAAUCAAUCACGCGUGACAAACAAAUCAAUAAAUAAAUCAAUCAAUCAUAAAAUCAUGUAUGUGAGGCCCCCACCAAAGCCCAAUCGAUCUUGCAUGAAUUAAUCUCACAAAUUCCAUUAUUCUGAAAUUAUGAAAAUGACAUUCACGCUUAUAUAAAAUCGAGAUAAAUAGAAGAUUAUUCGAAACCCGAAAAACAUUAAAACUGUUAAAGAGAAAACUGAAUUUUUGAAAUUUAUUUAAAAAUUGGAGUCUUGGGAAUUAAAUUUAAGGAUUGGAUUUUUAUGGAUUAAAUUCGAAAGAAAACAUAAUUUUGAAAAUUAUUUGGGAAGUAGAAACCAUGAAAGUUAAUUUAUAAAAAACAAAUUAUGAAAAUUGGGACUUUGGAAAUUAAAUUUUGAAAGAAAUUAGAAUUAAAAAUUAUUUAUCCUUAGGUCGCUGGUUCGCCAUUUUGUGGACCCCGCAUUUCGGCUCAUGCAUUUCCCACUCGAUGGCGAGCUCGAUUUUCAUUUUGAAAAAAAAUGAUUUUUAUUGAUUAAGAAAAAUGACUUGGAGUCGCCACUUAUUUUUGUUUUAUUUUUAAAAGGGUAAGCAAAAUAAGAAAGAAAAACCCCAUGAUCACUCCUUAUGCUUGUUCGGAUUCUCAUACGUGCAUGAUCAUUUAAGGUAUUCGUAGGUUCAUUCAUCAAUUGCCACGUCGGCUUUUUUAUUAGUAGAGACCCGACUUUAGGAACUUAGAGGGGUGCUACGGUCUUUACCAUACCUUCCUGAUAAGUAACCUGACCCCCGAACCCGAUCCGGUUUUUCGCAAAUCACCUUUUCCAAAUUAAGGAGUCACACCUAGGGUUUUUCUUUCUUAUUUUGUUUACCCUUUUAAAAAUAAAACAAAAAUAAGUGACGACUCUAAGUCAUUUUUCUUAAUCAAUAAAAAUCAUUUUUUUCAAAAUGAAAAUCGAGCUCGCCAUCGAGUGGGAAACGCAUGAGCCGAAAUACGGGGUCCACACUCAUCCUUAUGUGAAUUAUGUUGGUAUGAGUGACCAUCCUUAUACUUAUAAUUGUUUCGGUAAAAUGAAAAUUAUUAUUUUUAAAUUCACUUAAAAGAUAACUUUUUUGGGUUGUACUUUGAUCAUAUUUUGUAAAGAGAGCAUGUUUACCUAAAUCGCCUUUUGAAGUCGUUGGAUUAAAAUAUUCCUUAGCUUUAGCUCUCAGUCAUUAUUUUAUAAUUAGUAGCUAUCAUUUUCUCAUUUAAUAUUGAUUAAUCAUGACCUCAGUUUUUCAAAACACGUGCCACGUAACCAAGAAUUUAUGGAAGCAACCGCGUAUGAUGGGUCGGCUCAUUGAAGCAACCGCGUGACCGCGUCCAACGUUUUCGGAUUCGGAUCCGAACCAUAGUCCGGUUCGGUUCAAUUCACAGCGGGUUGACUUCCACUUUUUCAUACGUGCUAUAAAUCUUAUGUCAUGAUCAUCUUUCCCACACUUCAAACUUUUUCCAGGAAAACAGAUUCGGGGGAAGAAAAGGUUAGAAUUUUGGUUUGCAUUUGGAAUCUGUUGCAAUUCUCAAUCAGAAAAUGCCUCAAGGAACACUUGAAGUCCUUCUUGUCGGUGCCAAGGGUCUCGAGAACACUGAUUUUCUCUGUAAGUUUCUGCUGAAGUUUCACAGAUUUUCUCGUUUUCUUUCUUCUUCUACUGGUUCACGUUGAGAUUAAUGUCGAUGUAUGUGAAUUUAUGUUGGUUUUUGGUCUUAUGGAUGUGGUGCUUUUCAUAUUGUUGUAUGAUCUUCUGAUCAGGAUCUAGGUUUUGACUCUGAGAGAGAGUUUUUGGCACUAGGAUUUGAUCUGGGUCUCGUACACAGAGAUUUUAGCUUUUUGAGAACUGUUACUCUUUUAUCAUUUUUUUGAGGCAGGACCACGUUUGGCUGCUGAGAAAGCAGAGGAUGGAAGGGAAAACUUUUUUUCAAUUAAUGAAAAAUCCUUUUUUUUUUUUUUAAAGCGUUUCAUUCUUGUUCUCCAUUUCCCCACCAACCAAAUAGAUGGUUUUAAGUUCUUUUUUGUUCUUGUAAGCAGUAAGUCGGAUAGAGGUUCCAGAAAUCCCAUUAAUUCUUAGGGUCUUUGCAAUUUGAUUUGACUUUAAUGAUCUAUCUUCUAUAUCUUCAUGGAUGGUGGCUAUAGUUUUAACAGAUCUUGAUUUGUGCAAUAUUUAUUUCUCAGCUUAGUAUCAUUCUUAUUGGGAUCUAAGUUAUAAUUUUUUUUUUUUCAGUUUAAAUUCUGCUUCACACACUUCUUGUUGAAUUGGUGGUUUUUGAUCUUCUUCACAGAGACGCUGGAUUAAUAGUUCACAGUUAAGGUUAAUUUAGUAGGAUCAAUUUGGUUGGGUUUAGGUCAUACAAUUUUUGUUUUCAAUCAUAUCUAUCAAGAGAAUUAUUAAUUAAGGAAAAAGAAGUUUAUUAUCUCCUCGGAAAUUUAUUAUCAUCUCUGUUUGUAUUCUUGUCUUGCUUAGAUUUCUUUAAGUUAAAUAAGCUACAUUCAUACUUAAAAUAUGAGAUUUCCUUUGGAUAGUUGAGAAUUGACAAAGGCAAGUGUGUUUUUCUGAUAUAGAAAGUGGAUUUUGGUAAUAUUUGUUUCUGUUUUCAUCCUGUCCAUUCAUUUGAAUCAGUCUUAUCUGUCGAGUAUGAAAUUUUGGACUUAUACUGAAGCAAAUUGUUUCAAUUAAUUGCUCAUGUGUUCUUUAGGCCAUGAUCUCCAUCGCUAUUGUGUAUCUCUGUGUUUCCUGAUUGAUGGUAUUUAAUUCUUUUGGGCAGGUAACAUGGAUCCUUAUGUUGUUCUCACUUGCCGCACUCAGGAGCAGAAAAGCAGUGUUGCAUCAGGUGUGCUCUCUAAUCCAUUUGAUUUGUAAGCAGAAAAUAUGCAUAACAAAACAUAACAGAUCUGUACCAGUUCUAUAUUCACAUUGGAAACUGUGGAUGCAGGAAAAGGAUCUGACCCAGAAUGGAAUGAACAUUUCGUAUUCACCAUAUCUGAAGGCAUCUCAGAACUCACCAUUAAAAUAAUGGACAGUGAUAGUGGUAGUGGUGAUGAUUUUGUGGGAGAAGCAACGUGAGUACUAGUUCCUACCUAUGAAUAUUUCCAGCCAGCAAAGUUCAAUGUCCUAUUUUUCAUUUUGAUAAUGCUAAACUAAGGAUUUACACAGUCAGUUUCUGCCUUGUCUAGUACCACCAAUUCUAAUUCAGUGCUACUUCUGUUAACCAAACAUGGUUAGUGAAAAUAUGUAUUUUGAAGAUUCAGUUCUAGCUUCUAGGCAUUGACCAAAAACUUGUACAAAUACUGCUAAGAGAAAUCAGGAUGGCUUAUUUUAAUUCUCAUGUAAAACACAAUGGGACUGGUGAACCUGGUAAGUAUUUAUUUGUAGGUAGUGCCAAGGAAGGUUAAUUUGAUGCUUGCUUUGUUACCCUUGCAGCAUUCCACUAGAGGCACUCUUCACGGAAGGAAGCCUGGAGCCAGCACCGUACAAUGUUGUUAAAGACCAGGAAUAUUGUGGAGAGAUUAGAGUUGGCCUCACUUUCACUCAGAAGGUGAUUUUCUAUCUUUGUUAAUUUGCAUGAAUUCAUAUGCAUUAGCAGAGAAAAAGAAAUGUGAAACCCUCCUAAAAACUUGCCCUUCAUGACAAGGUAGCAGCAGCUCAAUGAGUUGCCCUUGAUUUGACAAAGCAGGCAUCAUUUCUAAAUCUCACUGUGACAUUCAUAAUCUCCACUAUGAUAUAUGGGAUGAGGCUUCUUCCUUUUUUCCCCCUUUGAUAGAGUUGAGAAGGCACUACAAAAGUGCUGCUGAACUGACAAUUUUUUACUUUCCUUGCCAUAGGGAGAAUGUGAUGGGGAGUCCUGUGCGCAGGAGGAAAACUAUGGCGGAUGGAAAGAGUCUUCUUAUUGAGUAUGAGGCAGUGCUUCUGAACUUGUGGUAUUAUGUGGUCUGAGGAUGGAAAUAAUUAGACCAUUUGGUUCAAUAUAUUUCUGAUGUUGAGACAUGUGGUUGAGGAAUUUCAGUUUGAUGUUAGUGUGUUGACUCAUGAAAUGUUCAUCUAGUUUCAUCUGUUACAAUCAAGUGUUCUCCCAUACUAGAAAUUUUGAAUUAAAUGGUAGUGUUAACAACAACAUAGUUUUGAUGGAUAAUCAAAUGGUGGUGAUCAGCUGUUUGCUGACAAGUGUGCCUAGCAGUAAAGAACUUGGUUAUAUUACUGAUUGGAAUAAUGGAAAGUACUGGCUUUGCUCAAAAUCAAAGCCUGAGUGGAGAAGUGGAAGAUUGAGGCUGAAACCAGCUUAUUUAGUCAAGUCUGUGGUAGUGGUAGGUUGUACACAGCUUGGGUCUUUGGGGCAUGAGUGCUGAGCAACAGCUCCUAACCCAACACUUCCACCAAAUAAAACAUAAGUUCAUACCUACGGCUUUGUUUGGAAUGGGGGAAAAAAUAGGAAUUUUUUUUUAAAAAAAAAUAGAUUUCUUUAAUUUUAAAAUAUAUGACUUUCCAAUUGAUUUUAAUUAUAUUAAUUUUUAAAGAUUAAUUGGUUGAUGGGAGUCUCAAUUGGUAGAGGUACCAAUCAACAACCAAAGACCUACUCCUUACCAUGGUCACUUCUAGUGGUCGAUUGUGUGGUUUGCCUAACGCUUACUUUAACUUGGAAUAAGCUUUUGGAAUUCUUUAUAAUGUGGUUAAUCAUUCAAAUCUUUUGAAAAGGAACUUUUAUUCAAUUGACUGAGUGCAUUCACACCUAAAUUUGCAUAAUCUAUUUUAGUGCCCAUUCAAAUCAGCUAUUCUGUGAAUUAUACUCUGGUUUAAGUUAGAGGUUGUAUUCUUGAGAGACUACAUUCUUAUACUUUGAGAGAAAGGGGAUUGAUUUAGUGUGAAAGGAUGCUUAGAUGCUUGUAAAGAUUUUUUGAAACUUUGAAUUCAAGUAUACAAAGAUUGAAUGGAUUUAGUUGAAAAACCUUUGUGAAAUAAACAUAGGCAAUUCUUGAACCAUAAAAAAAUCGGCCAAUACCCCAUGCACCUCUAGAAUUGUAUUAGCCUAGACUUUCAUAUUAGAUUUAGGCCUCUUAUUUAAGACUUUCUCCUUUCUGGUAAGUGUAAUUAGAAAAACAAAAGGAAAAGGCAAGUAAUUUGUUAACUUUCAACCCUUGGAGAGAGGACCACUGGAGGCUCAAUAUCAGCAUCAAUGACUGUUUCCAAAAUUAUCUCUCUUUCCCUUCUCUCUAUUCUUCAAAUGUCUCUCUGUUAUUUGAUACAACAGUACAUAAUAUGCUGAAAGGUUAUACAGACUGUAAAAUCUAAGCAGCAAAUGCAGUACAUGAAUUAGGCACAAACUUGUGGCCAUUUUCUAACUUUAGGAAUGAGAAGUAGAGGAUGUUCCUUCUGUAUAUUGGCACCAAACUUUUCCCUCAUGUCUAUCUCUUUAGGAUCACCCCAAUUCGGAAGAGACCAAUCAAAGAAAUGAAUCCAGGAAACCAGAACCGGGGGAAUCAGCUUUACAGCCAUGGGAAGUCCAGGGCAGAUUCUCCUUCCUGCGCCGAAGGGUAUGAAUUCAAAAUUAGUCCCUUGAAAAUCCACAAUUGAGUUCAGGAAGCGCUCUGGUUUGAAUACUAAAGGGUCUUCCCAACUCAUGGGGUCUCUUCCAAUGGCCCAGGCGUUUACCAGUACUUGAGCAUCUUUUGGAAUCGUAUAGUUCAUCACUUUGCAUGAUUCAAGUGCACGGUGAGGAAGGAGAAAUGGUCCAGGUGGAUGCAGCCUCAGGGUUUCCUUGAGGCAAGCUUGAAGGUACGGUAGCUUCCGUAGAUCGGAAUCUUUCAGUGUGCUUUUGUUGAUCUCUGUGGUGAGUUCUUCACGGAUUUUCUUCAUGGAGUCUGGACUUCUUAUCAACUCUGCCAUUGCCCACUCAGUGGUUACACUAGUAGAUUCUGUACCAGCAAUAAGUAGCUCCUGCCAAACAUCAUCUGAUCUGAGCUUGAAUAGAAAAUCGGAACCAAUUGGGCGACAAUUCCUUUUCAAGUUAAGCAACGAUUAAGUACAAAAUGAAAUGAUGUUAUAAUGAUUCAAUUAAUUUAAUUUCUUUGCCAAAAUCAAAUAACCACGAUCAUAGUCUCUUUACUUAUGAAGUGUUCCCACCACAUGAAUAACAUAAUUAACCUCUUACAGAAGAUUUAUUAUGGCAGUUCAAUUAUAUCUAUAAGUGCAAGAGUGGAGAGAGUCAGAGAGAGAGAGAGAGAUCAAACCCCAAGUAAAAAGUUAAUCCGAUCAUCUGUAAAACCAUCGUUGAUUAGAGCAUCGAGAAAAUCAUGUUGCCUAGUAGCAUGGCUCCCUUUUCUUUCUCUUCUUUCUUUAACGAUAGGCUGCCACAGACUAAACAACUCCACAAAGGAAUCCCUGGAUUUCUUCUGUAACCUCUGAAGAUCCAACCCACGUAGAAUUGGAUAAUAAUCAGCUAAAUUUGGAGUAGACAUCACGUCCACGGUUUUCUUGACACAUCCUAGCAUCCUCGCAACUGCAGUCUCAUCCUCCAAACUGACUAGAUCUUUUGAUAAUAGAGCAUUACUUAUCAUAUUCAGUGCAGUAACAAAGGCUAGUUCUUUAAGUUUCACCACCCUACCCUCCAUUGAGCUCAAGAAUCCAACCACCUCCAUCAGUUUUUUCUCUCGUAAACAUGCUUGUGACUCGAUGGCUUUGCCCGAGAAAAGUUGAGUUCGGCACAUUGUACGCAAGUACUUCCAUCUGUCAUCACACUCAAGCGACCAUACUAUUGAGUUAUUAUAGAAUUCUGAGCUCUUUUCUGGCAUCACUCCCGGAACAUAUCGGGCACAGAAAAUACGGUCAUAAGAGCUGAGAAUUUCUUUGGCGGCGGCCGCCGAUGAUCCCACGAUCAGAGUUUGAGUUCCGAGUCGUAGUGAGAAGAGCGGACCAUAGGAUCGUGCAAAGUCGGCCAUAGCUAUAUGACGCUGUUUCCCUAUCUGGUGAACGUUGCCUAUGAUUGGCCAUGGAUAUGGACCCGGUGGAAGUGAUAUUGGAGACUUUGAUUUGAGAUGCUUGAGGAUGAGAAAGAUGAGAGGCAGGAGAAGAAGGAUCAAAGGAAAGAGAUUGGUUCCUUCAGUUAAAGCUGCUUCAUCCAUUAAUUUGAUGAAACAAAGCUGGUUUUUGCCGUGCAAAAAUUGUUUGUGCAGGAGCCUUCUUAUAAUGGAAGAUGGAGUUAAAGGAGAAUUCAGCCAUUUACAAUCCUAUAAUAGAUUAUAGAUCUGUCGAAUUCAACUGGUCCACCCACUUUGAAUUGUAGUUGCGGAUAUUGCUGAUAAAAAUCCUUGUAAUGAAAGAGGGGCUAAUAAAGAAUCAAUCAUCCAGAUCUCCUGUCAAUGACGGUGUCAUUUGAAAAGGCCCCUCUUUGAUUUUUAGUGCUUGAAUGGAUUGAAAAUCAAUGCCAUUCGUUAACGUUUUGAAAUUAUUGCAUUUCUAUUAUACCUCAAAAUGAUAGUAAGAAGAUUUUUAUGCAAUGAUAGGGAUGACAACUAUAAUAAAAACCUCUCCUUCCUUCACUCAAGUAGUCUCUUCAAUCCUAUUGACUCUUAAGACUCACCAAUUACUUUAAAAUUUGGAGUAGGUUUUUUCAAAAUAAAUUUACGAAAAUGUCCACUAAAAAUAUAAAAAUCGAGUUCUACACUGAUCAGCAUUCAGAUAUCCUAUAAUUUCGAGAUAGGUCGACAUUUAAAUUUCACUUAUAAUUUUUGGUUUUUAAUUUUCUGAUAUUUCUAUAUAUCAUAGCCAUAACUGAAGUGUUGGAUUCAAUGCAAUGAUAGAACAGAAGAACCAACCUAAUCUAAUACAUAAACAAAUGGAUUUAAAGGCGAGGAACCAUUUUAUCUACUUUGAAACUGAUAAUUCUUUAGUGCAUUGUAUAAUAGGAUUGUCUGUAUUUGAUUGUAUAUGAAAUUGCAACUGGUUAAUAGAGUAUUGCUACUGUUGGUCCUGCUUUCCUGCUAUAAGGCCUUGAUAGUAUUUUAUCCCUCGUUUUCUCCCUGGGAUAUUUGGCUGCUUCAUAAGGAGACCAAUCACACACCAGGAAAAAAAAAAGGUCAUAUAUUGGUGGGUAAUGUGGGAUGAAUUAUACUUAGGGGAAUGUCUUGAUUUCCAUUUCUCCAAAGAGCGAUCUCUUAGCUAGGUAGUAAAAACCGAUUAAUCGAUAAUAUGGGAUUGUUGUUUGUUGCCUUGUCUGCUAUGAAGACUGCAUAUUGAACAAUUAAUCAUGGACAGGAACUGUUGGAAGAAGUAAGUUGGUUAAGCUUGGAUUUAUUAGUCUUACAUCAGUGGGUGUCUAGGAAAUUUGAGUACGGCCGGGAAAUAGUACUGGAAAGCCUCCUUUACUGUAGUUUUACCGUACAACAAUGGAGUGUAUUCAUUCUUAUACAACAAUUUUAUAUUCCUUCAUUGCUAUAGAUAUCUAUAACUCUCCAAUAUCAAUAGGUGUGGAGAAUGCAGAAAUCAGUUUCCAUCUGUCCCUUUCUUGACUCCAUGCUGUAGGUUUGGGCAGAGAAUGUUGUGUUUUAGAAAUGAUUCUCCCAAUUCUUUUCCAACAGAUUUCUGGGAAAAACAUAUCAAUGAUGUUGCUUGAAAAACAUAGGCAUGGUGUGCAAUUUGCUCUCUCUCCUGAAAAAGCAAAUCAAUAGUGUAGUAUAAGAAAAUAUAGUAUCACCAAGUUGGCCUUUGCUUUUGAUGAUUAUUUUUUGUCGAAGAAAAAGCAAAGGAAAACCAAGCCCUUCUAUAUUCCCUUGACAUGCAUAAACUGAAUCAUCCUGCACUUGAUUCAUGGAAAGAACAAAAGAUCACAUGGUAUGCGCAACUGUAACAAUCUCUUGGGCAUUUGCAAACUUAUUGGAAGAUUGAAAAACAAAAUAAAGAGGUUAGUAAGCAUAAUGUCACAGAGUUAGUUGUUUACUAAGCUCAUGCGGCACUUAGACAAGGCAAAACGCUUGAUCUUGCUAAGUCAGCCUUACUUCCAAUGCUUAGUUUGCUAGGCUAAGAUGUUUGCUACUCAAAAGUUGUAGAAGACGUAGUAGGCAACUCUUAAAGAAUGAAAGCUUUAUUGCUUUCAAAGGAAGCUAUACAAUACUUAGUAGCUCACUUGCUUGGUCAUGAAGUGAUUUGGGUGGUGCUUUGGCCAAAUGAAACCCUCACCUAUUUAUAGGCACCAAUAAAACUCUCUGAAACCUUGAAGGGUUCUUUACAUAUCAAGAAAAUUCUAGAAUACCCUACACAAUUCUAUGUGCAACCCUAUGUACAAGAAAUCUCUAGAAUUCUCUAGAAAGCCUUGGACUCCUCUCAUGCCUUCCACCAUAGUGUAGAGAUGUGUGGACAUUUCCAGGUAUCUCUAGAACUUUCCACACUCUUCCCUUCAAUGACUUAGUGUAGAUGGCUCCAGGAGUCUCCAAAAGCUUUCUAGGCUCUAUAUAAACCCAUGAGGAGGCUCAUUUGAAGCAUCCUGUGACAAUAAGCUAUUUCUCUUGAUUCUCUCAUUAAAUGCCUUAUGCUUCAUGAAAAUUGAGCAACUUAGUAUCUGGAUAGAAAUCAAUAAUAUUCCACUCGCUGCAAACAUGAGUAAGUGAAGGCCAUGUAGCUACAAACCAUAAUAGACUGAAAUGUGAUGCGAAACAUUACAUCUUUGCAACAGAUCACAAGUUACAUAGCCACACGCAGUACAAGAAGUUGGAAGAAACGUCUCUUGGUCAUUUUCUGCCUUUAGGAAUGAGAAGUAGAGGCUGUUCCUUCCGUAUAUUGGCACUAUACUUUUCACUCAUGUCUAUAUCUUUAGGAUCACCCCCAUUCGGAAGAGACCAAUCGAAGAAAUGAAUCCAGGAAGCCAGAACCAAGGGAAUCAGUUUUACCGCCAUGGGAAGUCCAGGGCAGAUUCUCCUUCGUGAACUAAAGGGUAUAAAUUCAAAAUUAUUCCCUUGAAAAUCCACAGUUGAGUUCAAGAAACGCUCUGGUUUGAAUACUAAAGGGUCUUCCCAACUCAUGGGGUCUCUUCCAAUGGCCCAGGCGUUUACUAGUACUUGAGCAUCUUUUGGAAUGGUAUAGUUCAUUACUUUGCAUGAUUCGACAGCGCGGUGAGGAAGGAGAAAAGGUCCAGGCGGGUGCAGCCUCAGGGUUUCCUUGAGGCAAGCUUGAAGGUAUGGUAGCUUCCGUAGAUCGGAAUCUUUCAGCAUGUUUUGGUUGAUCUCUGUGGUGAGUUCUUCACGGAUUUUCUUCAAGGAUUCUGGACUUCUUAUCAACUCUGCCAUUGCCCACUCAACGGUUACACUACUAGAGUCUGUACCAGCAACGAGUAGCUCCUGCCAAACAUCAUCAAACAUCUGGGUGAAGUCAAUAUGAUCUCAGCUUAAAUCGAAAAUGAAUUUAUAUGAAUAACACUGGAAACAAGUGGGGAGAUGAUUCUUUUCAUGUUGAAGAAAUAAUUAGUACAAAAUGAAAUGACGUCUACCAUAAUGAUAUAGCAUUGUUUACCAAAAUCAAAUGAUCAUCUUAACUAUAAAGUGUUAAUACCACAUGAAAAACAUAACUAACCUCUUCCACAAGUAAUUUAGUAUUGAAUAGUUCAAUCAUAUCUGUGUGUGCACAAGUGUGGAGAGAGAGAGAGGCAGAGAAUUCAAACCACAAGUAAAAUGUUGAUCUGAUCAUCUGUAAAACCAUCGCUUAUCAGAGUAUCAAGAAAAUCUUGUUGGCUAGUAGCAUGGCCGCCUUUUCUUUCUCUUCUUUCUUUAAUGAUAGGCUUCAGUAUACUACAAAACUUCACAAAGGAAAUGAUGGACCUCUUCUGCAGUCUUUGAAGAUCCAACCCUCUAAGAAUUGGAUAGUAGUCAGAUAAAUUUGGAGUAGACGUCACCUCCAAGAUCGUUUUGAAAAUUUCUCCCAUCAUUGCUAACGCUUUCUCAUCCUCGAAAGUAACAAGAUCUUUUGAUAAUAAAGCAUUACUUAUUAUAUCAAUGCAGCAACAAAGCCUACAUUUUUAAGUUUCACCACCUUACCCUCCAUUGAACUCAAAAACAUAACCACCUCCAUCAGCUUUUUCUCUCGCAAGCAUGCUUGUGACUCUAUUGCUUUGCCUGAGAAAAGUUGAGUUCGACACAUUGUGCGCAAAUACUUCCACCUGUCAUCACACUCGGGAGACCACCCUACUGCGAACCCGUUCAAACCAGUUAUUCUGCAUGGUAUCACUCGAGGAACACAUCGGGCACAUAAAAUGUGGUCAUAGGAGUUGAGAAUUUCUCUGGCAGCGGCAGCUGAUGAUCCCACGACCAAAGUUUGAGUUCCUAGUCUUAGCGAGAAGAGUGGAACAUACGAUCGUGCAAAGUCGAUCAUAGCAAUAUGGCGUUGUUUCCCUAUCUGGUGAACGUUGCCUAUGAGUGGCCAUGGAUAUGGACCCGGUGGAAGUGAUGGAGACUUUGCUUUGAGAUGCUUGAGGAUGAGAAAGAUGAGAGGCGGGAGAGGAAGGAUCGAAGGAAGGACACUGACUCCUUCGGUUAAAGCGGUUUGAGCCAUUGAUUUGAUCAUGAAACAAAGCUGGUUUUCGCCGUGCAAAAUUGGUCAGUGAAGAGGCCUUUUUAUGAGUGAAGAUGGGCCAGUGGAGAAUUCAGCCAUUUACAUCUCCUUUAAUAGGUACCGUAUUCAACCGGUCCACACUUUUUGGAUUCUAGUGCCGGGUAUUAGUGUAUUACUGAUAAUGAACCUUGUAAUAUAGAAGGGAGGCUAAUAAAGAUUAUUAGAUUAAAGACUACAAUAAUUUGGGUUUCCCCAUCAGUGAUGCUAUCAUUCAAUAGUGUCCUACUGUUUGUUUAUCCUACUUUUGUUGAUGGAAAAUCAAUUCAUCCACCGACUCUAACAAUGAGCGGAGAGGAGUGAUUCCAAAAGAAUGAAUGUGAUGCAUGUCAAAACCUUAUCAUGUCAUUGAGGUUUUGGUAAUAAGAUUUGAUUUCAAAAUUUUAUCAUGUCGUUAAGGUUUUGAUAAUGAGAUUUGAUUUUAUUUGGGUGAUAAUUUAUGUCGGUGGAUCAUGAUAGAUGAUUAUAAUGAAGCUUAUGGAAACCUUAAAAAGCUUGAAGACGAUAAAAAUUUAGAUAGGAGAAAAUGAAUUUACUCUCUAAAACCAAAUUAUACACUAACCAAUGGUGUAUUAAAGAGCCCCUUUAAUUAAUAGUGAAACCAAUAAUUUAAUGGAUAAUGCAUCAACUGAGGGAUCACCAUAAGAUAUUCUCAUUCUUUCUAAUUUGCAUUUACAUCAUGAUACUACUAAAAUGACAAGAAAGGUUAAAUAAUUAAAGUUUGGGAGAAUGUUGACUUUAUUUAAACAAAAGAAUUUUUUUAUGAACUCUAGCCUUUAGCCUUUAUGUCAAUAACACCAUAGGUAAAAUAGUCCGAAAAUAACGAUUUCAUGCAUAAAAAAUAAUCAAAAAAAAUGAGACUCUCAAUCCCUAUUUACGGAAAGCUUAUAAAAUUUUAAUUCUUUUUAAAUAAAUAUAUUAAAAUUAAAUUUUUUAAAUUUGGAUUUUAUUUUUUGAUUUUUUUAAAAAUUUGUAUAUAAAAAAUAAAUUUUUUUCCAAAAAUUAUUCUUUCAAUAGAUAAAUAGUAAUUAAACAAGAAUUCUAUAAUUAUCCUUAUCUGGAUGAUUGAUUUUUUAAUUUUUUUCAUGGGACAAGUUAUUUACGAAAGUGCACAUCUUUUUAGUAAAAAAUAAUCUCCUUUAACAUCCUUUUCUUUUUUUCAUUUUUUCUUUUUUUCAUUUUUCUCCCCCGGUUUAGAUAUUUUUGCAUCACUACAAUUUUUCUUCUAAAACCUCUCUAAUUUCUUUUUUUUUUUUAAUGUUCAUUGUAUAUAUUAUUAAUUUAUUAACUUAAAUAUUUUUUUUUAUUCAUUUAAUUUCCUUCUAUUUUAUUUCUCAAAUUUUCCUUUAAAAGAAAAUACUCUCAAACCUUUAUUUUGAUCAACCGUUGUCUUAAGUUCGUUAUUGUCAUGAUAGAAAUCAACAAUGUUUCAUUCUCUGCGAACGUCGAGUACGAGAAAGCCAUAUGCCUACGAACCAAAACAGGCUGAAAUGUGAUGCAAAACAUUACAUCUAUGCAACAGAUCACAAGUUACAUAGCCGCACCCGGUACAAGAAGUUGGAAGAAACGUCUCUUGGUCAUUUUCUGACUUUAGGAAUGAGAAGUCGAGGCUAUUCCUUCUGUGUAUUGGUACCAUACUUAUCACUCGUGUCUAUCGUAGGAUCACCUCCAUUCGGAAGAGACCAUUCAAAGAAAUGAAUCCAGGAAGCCAGAACCAAGGGAAUCAGUUUUACAGCCAUGGGAAGUCCAGGGCAGAUUCUCCUUCCUGAACUAUAGGGUAUGAAUUCAAAAUUAUGAAGAGGUCCAGGUGGGUGCAGCCUCAGGGUUUCCUUGAGGCAAGCUUGAAGGUAUGGUAACUUCUGAAGGUCGGAAUCUUUCAGCGUGUUUUGGUUGAUCUCAGUGGUGAGUUCUUCAGGGAUUUUCUUCAUGGACUCUCCCAUUGCCCACUCAGCGGUUACUCUACUAGUGUCCGUAUCAGCAACGACUAGCUCCUGCCAAACAUCAUCAAGCAUCUGGGCGAAGAUAUGAUCGAAACAAUUAGUACAAAAUGCUCAUCUUAACCAUUAAGUGUUAAUACCACAUGAAAAAACAUAAUUAACCUCUUCCACAAAUAAUUUUGUAUUGGAUGGUUCAAUCAUAUAUAUGUACGUGUGUGCACAAGUGAGGAGAGAGGCAAAGAGAUCAAACCCAAUAUGGUUUGUGAAGGAGCCUUCUUAUAAAUUAUAAUGGACGAUGGGGUUUAGAUUAUAAAUCUGCGGAGUUCAACUGGUCCACAUGCUUUGGAUUGUAGUAGCGGAUAUUGUAAUGAAAGAAAGGCUGAUAGAGAGUCAAUCAUCCAGAUUUCCUAUCAAUGAUGCUGCCUUUGCAAAAGGUACUCUUUUUUUUUAGUGCUUUAAUGGAUUGAAAAUCAAUACCUUCCAUUGAAGUUCUGAAAUUAUUGUAUUUCUAUUAUCCCUCAAAAUGAUGGUAAGAAGUAUUUUCUUGAUCAAUGAUAGGGAUGACAAGUAUAAUUGAAGCUUCCUCUUCCUCCACUCAAGUAGGCGGUAUUUAAUUUGACAAAGCUAUCGGUUCGAUCCUAUUGACUCUUAAGACUCACCAAUUACUUCAAAAUUUGGAGUAGGUUUUUACAAAAUAAUCAUGGACAAGAACUCUUGGAAGAAGUACUAGAUCCCAAGUUCUCACGAUUACGAUUCUUUGUACAUCAAAGCCAAGCACUAUUAUUUUUCUCUUGCUUGGUGCAACAUUGUCGUGAGAUGCUCGUCGAAAAGUUUUCAAAUUCUUAAUUAGUAUGAACUUCUUCUUCUAAAUAAUAUUGUAUAGAAUAUUUAUUAAGUUGAUAUAUACUUUUAAUCUUAGGUUUUCUUAUAAAAUAAGAAAAGUUUUUAAGAAUAUUUUUAUAUAUUUUAAAUUAUAAAGGGAAAAAGUCGUGAAAUGGAGAUGGAGUUUUAAAAACUAUACAAAAUGGAUACAGAUACAAAAAAAAAAAUAGGAGACAUCCAGUGGAGUGAAAAGCUUGUGGUUUAGGGUAUUGGGGCAUAAAUAUAAGUGCAAAUAUAUAAAAUAUUUCGAGAACCCAAUGAUUUUAUAUGGUUUAUAUCUUAUUCAUGGAUGUGGACAUGAGGUUGAACCAUGUUAAAACAUCUUUACGUGAAUUUUUUUAUCUUUGUAUUCUUAAAUUAAUAUUAUUUGCAUUAAAUUUUCCACGAUAGUUCUAAAACUAAUUUAAAACCUAAAAGCUGUCUGAGAGCCUCUCAAAGAUGCCAAUCUUUGUAGACACUGCUGUGAAUACUUCCAUGAUGAAAGAAAGCUGGAUUUACAGUACUGCAAGUCAAUAGCAUGUUAAAUAGGCUUUUAAUGGUGGUACCAGUAAUGAAAAUAUCCCCCACUCUCAUCUUGUUGGGCCUCAUUGUAGAUCAACUACCAGAUUGUGAAAAGAAAAUUAUUACAAAUAACCAAUUGUAAGGCGCACCAACUGUGAAAUCAAUACUAAAGAUUCUCUUAACCCUAAUCUCAUGUGCAUCUUGUUGGGCCUAAUAGGGUAAUAUUGACCCUAAUUUCAUGUGCGUCUUGUUGGGCCUUGUAAUAGGAUAAUAUUGACCCUUAUCUCAUGUGCAUCUUGCUGGGCCUCAUAAUAGGGAAAUAUUGACCCUAAUCUCAUGUGCGUCUUGGGCCUUGUAAUAGGUUCAUGUUGACCCUAAUCCCAUGUGCCUUGGGCCUUGUAAUAGGAUCAUGUUGACGCUAAUCUCAUGUGCGCCUUGGGCCUCGUAAUAGGAGAAUAUUGACCCUAAUCUCAUGUGCAUCUUGUUGGGCGUUCGUAAUAAGAAAAUAUUGACGAAGGACAAACGAAUGAAAAUGAUAAAAUAGGAUCGGUUCUACUGAUAUACUGCCAUGAAACUUGCCAAGGUAAUCGCCUACAUUAGAAGAACAAUACACACAAAGAUCUGCCAGGGGGAAAUGGAGUUGGUGGGUAUUUGAAUAUGGGAUGAAUCUCGUACACUACAGGAAAUGCAUGUCUUGAUUUUCAGUUUACCAUGCAUGCAGUACAUUAAUUUUUGAAAUGCUUUGAAUUGAAUCAUUCAGUGGAAAAUGAAAUCUUGUCGGCUUGAAGCCUGUUUUAAUUCUUUCUUUCCUUUCUUUGAUGAUAAGAUACAACAGACUGUCAGACUACACAGCUUCCCAUACAACUCCAUGGACUUCUUCUGUAUCCCUUCAACAUCCAGUCCACCAAAAACAUUUGGAUAAAAGUCAGAUACAUUUGGAGUAUAAACCAAAUCCACUACUUCUCUUCAAUCCUUCCAGCUACCCCCUCUUCCUCCAGACUGAUAAGAUCACUUAAUAAUAAAACAUUACCCAUCACAUUUAACCCAGAACCAAAUACUACCUCCUCAAUUUUCACCACCUUUCCCUCCAUUUUACCCAAAAGUCUCACCAUGUCCGUCACUUUUUUCCGUCGUAAAAAUGCUUGUGACUCUAUUGCUUUACCUGAGAAAGGUUGUAUGCCUAGGGCUUGGAAGCCUGUUGUCGAGGAAUUAACAUAUCUGCCAGAUAGGCUGCGAUCCAAAGCACAUUAGGUUUGGGGCAUAAAUUUGGCCCAACCCUCCCAAGAAUUUCGAGCCAAAGCCCAUCAGGUCCUGUAUCUAGGGUUGGGCUUAUAAUGAUUUUAUAAACCCAUUCCCGGGCCAAGCACUCACGAGCUUAUAAGAUUUCCCUAAAAAAUGUCGUUCAAAAUGUGGAUAAUGUCAACAGUACAUAAAUCAAAACUUGUCACGUUAUUACAAAUUAAAUAAUAAAAUUUUGUUGAUGUCUUGGGCCUGAGAUAGGGCCUAAGCUAAGAACUAAAUUUCUAGUCCAAUCCAAAAAUCUGUCUGGACCAGAAUAUGGGGAGCCCAAACCCACGCCAAGAGGUCCAGGCCAUUGGCUGCUUUAAUACUAUUUAUAAUAACAUUAUUUUCCCUCGAGCUUAGUAUAACUUCAAAGACAAUAAUUGAGUUUAGUAUAACUUCAAAGGUAAUAAUUGGUUAUAUUAUUCACACGAUAAAAAGAAUGAAGCCCACUAAAUAUUGGUUGUUUCUUAUGUCAUAAGAUUACGAGAUUAAACAAAAUCACUCGUAUAAUUAGAUGAAAAUUAACUUUAAAAACAUUUGUAAUAACCCAUUUGAUUUCAUGUAAUUAUUGUAUGAAUAAGUUUUUUAAGCUGUGAAAUCUCAAUCUUAAAGCAAGAAUAUGCACACAUCAAAAGUUCUACCCUCGACAUGUUACAAUUAAGCUCAUCAUCUGAUUUCAUGGGCUUCAAUCCUUCGUACAAGGUCUUCAAGGACACGUCACACUCCUUUAAUUAACUAGGCCCUAUUCGAUAUGCAUUGUUAGGCCAUUGAGGAAGAGUUAAAUAUCAGAGUAAUGGUUUAGAGGCGUCCACGUCCAACGUUGCACUCCGUCAAUUUCCGAACAACGCAAGUAUUGAGAAAGUAACACAAUGUCAUAGGUACAUCAUACAUGUGACAGCGCAGCUUGUCACCACGCCCAAACAAGGAACCAAGGACAACCAGCUUCGCAUGCCCUGUCUGCCUCUUAAUUGCUAAUCCCAUCAUCAAAAAACUAACAACAAGAUUAGGUCCGGAAGUGCUUGUUUUUUCAAAGCCCUUUGAAAAAAAAUAAAAAGCAAAAAGGCAGGGAUGUCUGGUAAAUUCAGACCCAUAGAAAUGAAGAUUAGUGGAGAGUGGUCAUGUCAUCUUUUUGUAAUUUUGAUUUUGACAAUGACUUAGCCUGCCCCAAUGCAAGAGAGAGGGCCGGUUUAUUCCAAAAGAAUUCUUUGGAUUUCACUUAGGUUUCAAACAAGAAGAUUUAACACUAUUAGGCUGGCAACCUAUAAUUGACCUUUUGGAAUCCUGAAUGCUGUUUCCUAUUGAAGAAAAAUGGGAUCUGAUGUUUUAAUUUUUUCCUUCUUUUUUUUUCUUUUUUUUUUCUUUUUUUUUGUGGGUCUUUUUGAAAGGAGAAUGAUUCGAUAUUUCUGGCCCCGGAAGGGAAAAAUAUCUUCUAUAAUGUGUGAAAGAUGUAUGGACACCAUCUCUGAAAGGAUGGGCCACUCUCCCAUGGCUGAGGUUCAACCUCUCAUCAAAAGUUUUUGGUUUUAUUUAUGCGGUAAGGAUUUUUUUCAGAGAAAUGAAAUAAAAGAGAAGAAAAGGUUAGGGUAUAUUUGGUAACUAUUUUUUAAAAUAGUUUUUAAAAAUAAUUUUUUUUAGAAUAAUAUUUUAAAAUUAUUGUAUAAUGUUUUAUAAAAAUAAAAAUCUUUUUAGAAAUCUAAAAUAUUUUUAAAAUUUUUUAAUAUUUUUAAAAAUAAAAUUUACAUUUAAUGUUUUAUUUUUAAUUAUUUUAUAUAUUGAUAUAAUUAUUUUUUAAAAUAAUUCUAAAAAAAUAAGUGAAAACAACUUAUAACUAAAAGAUAUUUUUUGAAAAUACUAUAUUUUAUGUUCUUAAAAAUAGAAAGCAGAAAACAGUUUUUUGUUUAUCAAACCUCUGGUUUUUUUAUUUUAUUAAAUAGAAAAUUAUUCUAAAAAAUAGUACGUCUAAAAGUUUCAAAUGUAUAAAUUUUUACUUUAUUUUUUUUCUUGUUUUUAUACCAAAUAAAAAUACAAAAUUUGAGUAUUUUUUUUCUAUUUUAAAAAAUUCAAUCAAAAUGAAAAAAAAAUUUAGUGUUGAUCUGGAUAAAGUUCUUACUUUCUAUUUUAAAAUUAAAAAAUAAUUGUAAUCUUUAGAUUAUUAAAAAAUAAUGACUUAAAAAUUUAUCUAAAAAAAUUGAAAUAUUAAAAAAAAAAAUUACAACCUCAAAUUUUAACAUUUUUUAAAUUAAUUUUUAAAGAUAUAAAUUAAAUUUAAACGUCAUUUUUUUUCUUUUUUGCAUGAAAUGAUCUUCUUUUUAUAUAGAAUUUUCUAAUAUUAAAAAUCAAAAGCAAAAAAUGUAUCUAAAACUUUAAAUUUGACUCAUAAUUGAGUUUUUAUUUUCAAAAGUAAAAAAAAAAUAGCAAUAAUGUUUAUUUAAAAUAAUAACAUGUUUAGAUAAAAUUAUUUUAUUCAAAAAUAUUUAUAUUAAAUUAAAAAUAAACUAAAAUAAAACAACAUGAUAGCCAGUCCAAAAAAACAACUAGAAAACAUUAUCUUUUGUGUUCAACAAUCAACCAAAAAAAAUUAAUUAAUAAAAAAAAAAAUAGGUAAACAUGUUUAGUCCAAAGAUGCAUGUGAGAUAUUUCAAUAAAAAUCCAGAUGUGAAAUAAUUGGGAGUGGGAGGCUUGUCUUGCUCAGCCUAGCUUUUCUUUUCGAUAAUAACGCAUCGAUACAACCCUGGCCCAUGCAUUGAUUCUAUGACAAAUGUACACCACGACCGAAAGCGCUUCUAUAGAAAGCACAAGAUUAAUAUUUUUAAUUAAUUAAUUAAUUAACAAUAUCCAACACCUAUACGCACCCCCCUUUUCACUUUUUGUAGCAUUAUCACACGACGAUUAUUUAUUGAUACUGAAUGAUAAUAAAGCUAAAUACCAUAAAUUAUUUGGCUAAUAUUUUUAUCUCUCAAUGGUCCACGUGUGGAUGAAAUCGGAGAUGGCUUAUUCCAAAGAAUUGUUUCCUAUAAAUCUCGAUUCCCACGUGGAUAUUAGAAAUAUUAAAUAUUUCUUUAAUAGGUAUGUUGGUUUGUAAAUGAAUAAAAAAAAAAACAAAGAUUCGAGUUCUAUUGAUUUAAAUACAAAAAUAUCUCUUUUGAGUAUAAUUAGAUUUUAAUUAAAUUCAUUUAAUAAAUAGAUAACCUUUUUUUGUCAAUCUACAUAACACAAAUUUGACUCAAAUUAAUCAAUUCAAUAAUUUUAUUGAUUAAUUUAAUUACAACUUUGAGUUAUUUGAUUUAUUUUAAAUUUGCUUUUAAAUAAUAAAAAAAUUGAUUAACUCAUAAAUAUAUUUAAUUAAAACAUUAAUCAUAUAGAUUUAUAUAAGACCUAUCCAACUUAAUUAUUAAAAUGAGAUACUUGAUUAUUAAAUAUAUUAAAUGAGUUAUACGAUUUGGUUUAUGUUAUUUGACAUUAUUAUUAUUGGGUUUUGAUUGAACUAUCCAGUGGACUAACUAGGUUUUGACACGAUACGAACUUGAUUCACCGAGAUGUCAUUGUUAUUUUUAAAGAAUAAUUUAGAUAUAAAUACUAGAAAAUAAGAAUUUGAAUUUUGUAAAACAUAUAAAUAUCUCUUUUAAAAAGUAAGUCGAUUCAUGUAUGAGUGCUAAAAAAAUUUGGAGUGUGGGUUUUACUAAUUUAAACACGUAAAUAUCUCUAAUUUUUACCUAUAAAUAUUAAUGUAUUGAAAGAUACCCUUAACAGAUAUAUUUAUGCUUUUCAAUUGGGAUUUGAAUUUUGUAAAACAUAUAAAUAUCUCUUUUAAAGAGUAAGUCAGAUUCAUGUAUGAGUGCUAAAAAAUUCGUAGUGCGAGUUUUAUUAAUUUAAACACAUAAAUAUCUCUAAUUUUUACCCAUAAAUAUUCAUGUAUUGAAAGAAACCCUUAAAAGAGAUAUUUAUGCUUUCCAAUUGGCUUAGAGAUAUUUAUGUAUUGAAAGAAACCUUUAAAAGAGAUAUUUGUACAUACAAACAAAGAAAAAUUGGAUACUUAUUUUUUAAUAUUUAUAUACAAAUCAAUCGUAUUUUAGAAACUAUUUUUUUAAAGAAGUCAUCCAAUUACAUCAUUACUUUUCUAAUGUAUCUUACCAUUUUAUUAUCAUAAUAAAAUGUUAAAGUUAUAUUAUUAAAAAGAAAUUAUAAAAUUUAUUUUUUUAAUAAUUAAAUUUUUUAACCAUUUUGAAAUCUAAAUAAUUUCCUCAUUCCACUUAUUAAACUUUGUGAUGAUACAAUAUUUACCAUAUAUACAUAGUUUGACAAAAGGAAAAGUAGCAAAAUUGUAUUAUAGAAAAAUAUUUCCAAAAAUGGCAAAAGAAAUAAAAUAAAAUAAUACAAAAAAUAUAUUUCACCUAAAAUAUUAUAAAAUUGGAAAAAAUUAAUUUACAUACCAUCUUAGUUUUUUUCUAUCAAUAAUCUAUCCAAUAAUUAUGAGUCUAUGCAUGGAAAUCCACCCUUUCCUAUUAAUUAUGAUUUUUUUUUUUCUCUACUUGAUAGCACUCAUUAGAAAAGUAAUGAUUACAAAUAUGGGUCCAAAUCUUGUCUUGAAAAUAAGUGACUGAAAACCUUAGCCAAUGAUGGUGGGCACAUGCACACAUAAAAUGAGACACUUUCUUUAUUUGUCCACAUCAUAUAAAAAUUAAAAUACAUAAAUAUAUUUUUAUAAAUGAAAGUAUGUACAUAAAUGUAUUUGAUUAUAAUUAAUAACCAUUAACCACCAAACUAUAAACCCCAUUUAAAUAAUUAUUAUGAGCCAAUCAUUUGUACAAAUUCUGCCCCAAUCAUAACGCUAGGGCAAUGCCUAGUCAUCUUGAGUUUCUUGAAUAUUACAUAUUGUACCACUUAGAUGUAUUAAUAUACAACUCAUCAUGAAGGGUAUCCAUUUCUAAUCUCAAUCUAGGCGUACACGUCAAUCCUUGUUAUUUAAUUAAUCUUAUAUUUCAAACAAAAAAAAUUGUAAAAUUAAUAUGUGGAAAUUCUUAACCUUAGAAUUAUGUCAAAAAUUUCAAAUGAAAUGUGAUGAAAAAUACCAUUUUACAGCUAAUCAGUUAGAAUAGAAUCGACUACUGAUUAAAACAUGUGGACCUUGAACUCCAUUAUAACGAGUCAUUGCUUUUAAUAGUAAAAAUAAAAUUCAAAAACCGACAAGAUAUAAAAUGACAAGGAGAAAGUUUUUACAUUAAUAAGUAAUUCAGAUAUUAAUUUGUUAUAUAGGAUAAGAGUAAACUUGAAAUAAAGAUAAACGAAUUAAGUUCGAAUAUUACUUGUGUUAUCCUAUUUUACCUUAUUUAUAUGAGUAAUUAAAUAAAAGUUAUUUUAAUUUAUUUUUUUCUUAAUUCAUAAAAAUAAAGUAUAAAAUUUUAUAAUAUUUAUUUAUUUUACUUAUUUCUAAUGUAAUUAAAUUUUAAAUUUUUUUAAAAAUUAAAUAAUACAACUAGAUACCUAAUGCGAAAAUCCCGUACCCAUCACAUUCUACUUAUUUAUUUAUUUUUAUAAAAUAAAAAAAUUAUUAAGUAAAACCAUAGAAAACAUCUACUACGAUGUUCACAAACCACAUUCAACUGGCCAUUAAAUUAAUCCAAAAGUUUUUAAUGUUCCAAGUUUUUUUCCCUUGCUUUCCGAAUACGUAGCCCUAAAUCCAAGACAGUCGCAAUCAGACAAAUAAAAAACCGGGGCGGCUAAGAUGAUAAACUUCAUCAGUCAACUUAGUAAAUAAUUAAUCUUAAUUAAGGUUCAGUCACAAUUAUUAAGGAAAAAAAAAGUAAAUAGUUUGAAAGGCAACAGCCGCCCACGUGGCAGACGUCCAGGCCACGGUGUACAGUGACAUGUCAUGCUAACUAGGGUCACCACGAGGAGAUGGCUGGAGUGUUGGAGACAGUUCAGAACCCUGACCACUCAUUUUUCUCCCUUGGAGGUGAGAAUCGAGGAAUAGACUUGGGAAGCUUCCUCUUCUAUUAUUAUGGAUAUGGGUGUCUUAAUUAAAUUGGUCUUAGUAUUUGCUUAGUGGAGUCUGGUGAAACCGAGGAAAAUGAGGAGAAAACUAUGGGAGAAAGCGAGGGGAAAAAGUGAAGUGUGGGUGGGAAGUCAAGGAUGGAAUCUGAUAAAAUAAAUAAAUAAAUUAUUUUUAUUAUCACUUUAUUGCAAAAAAAUUGACUUGCUUGGAGGCAUCUUUGCAUGGGAUUGGGGCCUCCUUUAUUAAUGUCAUUGUCUUGGUAAACCCAAUACAUAAAAUGCAUUAAUUAAAGUUGAAGCAUCUGCAUGAUGCUAAGAGGCUCUGUUUGGAACACAUUAAAGGGUGGAAAAGUAUUUGAAAAAAAGAAAAUAAAUAAAUACAUAGAAAAUAAUCCAAAAUCUCAUAUUUGAUUUUUUUUUCCUUUUUUCGAAGGAAAAAAAAAAAGUAACAGAAAAUGAAAAAAAAAUGAUAGGAAUUGAAAUUUAGGGAUGUUAAGAUUUUUAGGAAUAAAAUUUUAUUUGAGAAUUCAAAUUGAAAAAUAGUUUUAUUUUUUGACUUAUUAAAUUUAUGAAAUUAUUGUAUAUUUGUAUAUAAUAUACAAGUUUUUUUUAAGUAUUUUCUAUAUUUUUAAUUUCUACUUCGAAUGUAGAAAAUAAAUUAAACACUUCAAAAAUUGUUUUAAAAAAUAGUAUAUUUUGAACAAUUUCUUUUAUAUUUUCAAGAAUAUUUAUCAAAUAAAAUAGUAUAUGUUUCUAAAUUUAUUUUUUUAUUUUUUAUUUAUCUUGUAUCCACUUAUUUCUUUCAAAAAUUUCAAAAUCCAAAUUGGAGUUAAAAGGAGUGGAAAAUGAAAAAUAACAAGGUGGGAUAAAAGAUUUUUGUUAUUAUUGUUUAUAUCUUAUUUCUAUAAAGAGAAAAAAAUAUAUAUAUUUGUAUUGUUGCAAGAAAUUGAAAUUGAAAUUGACAUUAUUUCUUAUUGAUAAUUUUAGACCUUAAUUAUAUUUAAACAAAGUCAACAAAGAUUCAUUCAAAGUCCAAAGUGUCAGUUGAAAUUAUAAAAGGAAGAUAAGAUUUCAAUAAAAAAUUGUAAAUUCUAUGUAUAAAUAAACAUUCAUGUGGGUGUGCACCCAUAGGAUCCAAAUAAACAAAUUGUGAAAAGAAAUAAUGAAUUUAAAUUAAAAAUAUAAAUAUAUUAAUGUUUGGAUUCCAUAUCCAUCAAACAAAAUGUUUUUACUCAAAAGUGUUCUUAACCAAAGUAUUUUUUUAAAAAGUUUUUUAGGAGAAUUACAUGUUAAGUCUAUUUCAUAGUAAUUAUAAGAAGGGUUUUUAGUCUUAAAAGUUUUUAUUUUUUAUUUUUUUUUAAAAUAGGUGUUUCAGUGAAAUUUAGAAAACAUUUUUAAAAAUCUUAAAAAUCAUCCGUAAUAUUAAAAAAUCACUUGUAGUAUUUUAUAGAUAAAUACUUUAUAAGUGAUUCUCUUAAAAACACUUUGAGAUAAAAUACUGGAAUAAAAUUACUGUCAAAUGCUCCCUAAAGUUUGUUUGACAAUGAUCAUAAGAAAUGCUUUUAGUUUAAUAAGUGUUUUUUUAAAAAAAUUUAGAUGUUAGACAAAAUUUAAUAAAUACUUUUAAAAAUCUAAACAACCAGUUAUAUCAUUUUCUAAAAACACUUUAAGAGAAAAUAUUUAUAUAAAAUACUUCAAGUGAAAGAUACUAUCAAAACAACCUGAGUUUCUUUAGGAAACACUAUAAGUAAUUUUGUAAUAAAAUUUUCAAAAUUUUAAAAGUUUUUUUCUUUUUUUAGUUAUCCAUUUGGUUUUUUAAAUAAAACCUUAGAAAUCUGAUAAAAUAUUUGUACAUAGAAUGAAAUGGAAUGAUAUGUUUAACAAUAAUUUUAAAAAUGUAUUUCUAUCAUUUAUAAUACUUUAAAAUUUUUAUUUUGAAGUAUUAUAAAUAUUAAAAACAAUUCCCAGAAUCAAUGUCAAAAGUUUAAGAAAGUAAAGCAGGUGGGGUGUUUUAGGGUUUAUGUAAAAUUUCUAAAAUUUAGGUUGAGGUAUGAAGAAUGAAGAGGGGCAAGCUUUAUAUAAAGAAAUAAACCUCCAAAUCCAAGCCAAACCCACAGGUUUGUAUUGAUGAGACUAUUCCGCACUCCCAAAUUCCAAAACAAGGAACACAUUGCACAGUGUCGACCACAAUUAUUUUAAUGUACUCCACCUUCGUAGCCCAUCAAAAUCAAUACCUCCCCCACUUUCUCUCUCAUAUUUUCCCAGGAAACAAACAAACUUUGCACCCUUUUCCCACAUAAAUCAAAUGCAACCCACCUUCCCCCUCUCCCUUCCUCUUCAUCUUCGUCUUCCAAUUGCUCAAAAGCUUGAUUCUAGGCUCUAGAGAUUUUUGGGUUUUCGACAUCUUCAUGGGUACUGGUGUCUCCCUUCUUGCUUGUGAAAAUGAAGGGUGUCCUUCUCGACCCAGGCUUGGAGAUUUGCCUGAGGACUGUGUGGCUUUGGUACUGUCGUACUUGGAUCCACCAGAAAUUUGCAAAUUGGCCAAGCUGAAUCGGGCGUUUCGCGGGGCUUCUCGGGCUGAUCUCGUUUGGGAGCCCAAGUUGCCCUCCAAUUAUUGUUUGGUUAUCGAGAAAGUGUUUAAGGAUUUUCCCGAAAAUUUGUGUAAGAAAGAGAUUUAUGCCAGAUUGUGUCAGCCUAACCCCUUUGAUGGAGGCACAAAGGUACAAGUUCUUUUUCCUUUUAUUUUCUCUUGUUGGGCUCUCAGAAAAUAUAAGGAAAAAAAAAAAGGAAUAUCAUUAUCCUUGGAUUUUUAAGUAUUUGGGAUUUCCUUUUAUUUUCCUGGGUUUUCCCGGCAACCGAAGUGGGAUGUGUUGUUUCCUAUUUGAUGAUGACGAAUUUUAGAAUUUGGGUUUUCUUUUGCAGAAGGCUUGGCUGGAUAAGAGAACAGGCGGUGUCUGUUUGUCAAUCUCUUCAAAGGGAUUAGCAAUCACCGGAAUCGAUGAUCGGAGAUACUGGACCUACAUUCCAACUGAAGAAUCCAGGUGAGAUUGAUGGAUUUCAUUACGAAUUCCUUGGAAUAGAAAUUUUUUAUUGAUUCGUUGAAUUCCAUUUCGUAAACGAUUUUAUCUGCUUGGAUGCUAGUUUCUUUGAUCUGCAUAAUAGUUGUUCUUCAACGUUGUUUGAACUUGUUAUAAACCAUUGCCAGAUUCUAUAUCUUAGUUUUGGGUUCAUUGACAUGUUUAAUAUAUCAUUGAUCCUGUUGAAGUGAUUUCAAGAAAUCAAAGAACAUCUGCAAUUGGGAAGGUUAAAAAAUUUGGAAUCUUGAUGUUCAUUUGUUUGUACUUGGAUAUCGAAAAAAAUAUCUUUCAGGUUUCUCACUUAAGAAAAUAGACUUUUAGUUAGUUCCCAUUGUGUACAGCCUGUAAUCAACAAAAAUAAAUGAAUUCAAGCAGUAUCAUUGAUGUAUGAAAACAAAUAAUAGAUAAGAAAAUAAAAUGAUGAGCAAUUAUUAAAAGAAGUAAAUAAUCUUUGGCACUUUAAUCAAGAUGGAGCUUUUGAGUGGCUUGCAUGUCUAUGUUUGAUUUUGUCGAUUGGUUAGGCUGCCAGUAAGGGGAGGGAGUACUUUUUCCUAUCUCUUCUUGAUGUUUAUCUUUUUUUGCUUUGAAGCGCACUUGAAUACUUCCCGUGUACUUUGUGUGGCCUUUUUUGGCGCUUAUUAAUUUAUUGCUCUUUCGCCUAUUCAAGAAAAACAAAGAGUGGCUUGCAUUUGUUGAUGAUCAUGCCAUAUGAACAACUUUAGCUUAUGUCAAGUGUUGUGGAGAAGAUUAGGGUUCAUAAUCAGUGUUGCUGCCUAAUGCAUUUAAGAAAGACUUGCAAUAAUUGAUUGAAGAUUGAAAAGAACAAAGCAGAAAAAGUGUAUGGAAGAAAAGUUGUUGGUGUUUUAGCGUAUGGUGAUGGGAGUCCUAGAUUCUGUUAAUUGUUAAAUAGAGAUUAGAGGGCGACAUAGCAUUAUUGGAAAGUUCGAUUUGAAAUGCAAAUGUUUUUGGUUGAGAACAUGUAAAAGCAUAUUAAUAAAUAAGAGGACAAUUUUAUUCUUAUGGCAAUAGAAAGAGAACGGAAAUUUUGAAUCUUGAGAACCUUCUAAUUUUCUUAAUUUGUAUUUAGUUUGCAAGACCUAAGUGUUCUAACUGCAUGUUGGAAUCAACCUACUAGGUGGAUUUGAAUUGUGAUUUAGAAAGUUCUUGUUGAUAUCUGCCCAUAAUGACAUGUAAAGGAGCUUUAAAUAUGCAGUGUUUUGAUGUUUGUUGAAAUUAUGCUUUCUGUUGCACAUGUUCUUUUUCUCUAUCAGUGGACUUGCUGUUGCAAGCAUAGAUCUUUCUUACUACUGCAUUACAAGAUAAAAUUUACUUCUGUUCACCUAGUGAAAUGGGAGUACUUGAAUUGAUUUCUUCUCUCUGGGCAUGUAGGUUCAACACUGUUGCAUAUGUUCAGCAAAUCUGGUGGCUUGAGGUUGAUGGGGAGGUCGAUUUCCCAUUUCCAGCAGGAACUUAUAGCAUAUUCUUCAGGCUGCAGUUGGGGCGGGCUUCCAAGAGGCUUGGCCGUAGGAUCUGUAACCCCGAGCACGUACAUGGUUGGGACAUAAAGCCAGUGCGUUUCCAGCUAUGGACUUCAGAUGGUCAACAUGCCACAUCUCAGUGUUUCUUGGAUGAACCUGGAAGGUGGAUUCAGUACCAUGCAGCAGACUUUGUUGUUGAUAACUCUAAUGCACCAACAAAGAUUAAAUUCUCAAUGACCCAGAUCGAUUGCACACACACCAAAGGUGGUCUUUGUGUAGACUCUGUUCUGAUAUACCCAAGAGAAUUUAGGGAAAGGUUAAAGCAUUUUUGAAUCACACUUAACCUCUGUAGGUAGGAAGUUUUAUGUUAUAGAGGUAGGGCAUUUCUAAAAGAAAACAGAAUCAAAUACUAGUUGGUUCUUUCUGGCCUUGAAAUCAUUUGUAUGCACCAAAGGCUAUUUGUAAAUCUAUAUUUCUCUUAAGUAGCACCAUCCUAGUUGUGUGUAUUCCUUUUUCUCUCCAUUGUCAAUAGUUUCUUGUGAGGGACUUUGGGGAAGGGAGGCCAGUUGAUAUAAAUAGAAGGAAUCUGAUUCUUUUCUUUUUAGGUUUUUUCUCCAUGGUGCGAAGCAACAAAGUGCACCAUCGGUUUUUUUUUUUUUUUCCACAAAUGUUGGCUUUCCUCUCCCUAAAACUUGGUGCUUACCAAGUACGGCUCUAGGUGGACUAUACAUGUGAACCCACAAUGCUACCCGGCUUUGGAGAGAAGUCUAGGGAAAUUGGUUGGUGGAUUCUUUUUUUUAGGACUGUUUCGUGAUUAGGAGCUCAAAGGAGAUCUUUCUCUAGAAAUUUCAAGCGUGCACAAUUGAGAGAAAGGAGGAUGAUAGUUUGGUGUGGAAUGCCGCCAAAGGUGGCAAAUUCUCCAUCAAAUCCUUCUACCUUCCCCUACUCCAGGAAGAAUUCAUGGGUUACUUAGGAGGUGAGAUUUUUUGUUUGGGAAGCUUCUUGGAAGAAUUUUCACGACCAAUCAGCUUAAAAGGAGGGAAGGAAUUAUGCCCAAUAAAUGUUAUUUGUGUAAAAGAAAUGGAGAAUCUGGCAUAUUAUUUGCUCCUUCGUUAUCCUAAGCAAACGUAUGCUAUGACAGCUAAUUUCUCUUUGUUUGAUGUGACUUUAGGUUAUGCAUUCAAUUAAGUCGGCAUAGAAAUCUUUUGGGGUAAGAAACGAAAAGGGUUUGGAGGGUCAUUCCAUUGUAUGUGGUCGACUGUGUGAAAGGAGAGAAAUUAUAAAUGUUAGUUCAAAGGAGAGUUUAUUUUUUGUUUCUUUAUCUUGCCUAUUUCUUUGGGAAUACACAUUGGGUGUAUUUUAUUGAACCUUCUUGUAGGUGCAGGAAAAAAAAAUACACACAAUAAUAGGCAUCAUUAGUAUUAUAAACGAAUGCCGAAUUGCUAUUGGAAUAGUGUUCGAGAUGGAAAUAGCGAGUUGUAAUACUGGCUUCAAAAGAUGAUUCCGACAAACAAAUGCAUCGAAGUAGUAACUUGUAACUUGGUGGUCAUGGUCGUACAAUUUCUUCAGCAGCCCAUCGCCUUGUUGAAAUCACAAGCAUCAUGAAAUGUCCGUCCUUGCCCUGGUUCUGCAGCGUUUUGUUGCAUCUACAAACAAAACCGAUUCAUGCUUCUGGGAAAUACUAUGAUUUUUUUAUACACCUACAAUAAAUUCCUGGGCCUAAAAUAAAAUCAAAAUUACAAGUGAAACUUGAAAGGUUGUAUUGCUCAUCAAUAUACCAUUUAUAUUCCUGACAUUGUUACAUUUGCUUCUACAAGCCUACCAACAACUAUUAGUCUAUUACAACUAGAGCAGUAUACCACCCUGAGACCCCAUCAAAACUUCUUUAAGAAGGUCCUGUACAAACUGUGUUGAGCCACCAGCCCAAUAUCGUAGACCACCCAAAAAACUAAAACCUCCAAAAUGAACUACUUAUGCCUUCCAGCCAUAUUCCAUGCUCUCCUGGUCAGCAUUGAAGACAUCAUUCUCAUAGAGCCCGUGGGCCACAUCCUGGACCGCUUCAGGCACUGGCAAAUCUGGUUCCCUCUUUACGAGGCCAUUGUUCUCACUAGUCCCAGAAGACUUGCUGCUUGACGCAGCUUUAAAGCUUUUGUCCCUCCCGACAAAACUGCCCAACACAUUUGCUGGGGAGGCCACAGCUGCAGUGCUGUCUCUACAACCUAGCUCAUUCCGAACGACACUAGUUCCCCUGGCCUUUUUAGGUAAGCCACCAAUUGUACUUGUAUUAAUGCCGCAUAAGACUUCUUCCUCACCCCCAUUUGAAUUGUGUAACCCUUUUGCUCUGUUGUUGUUCAUCAUCUCCUGAAGUAACUUCUGGAUCAUGCAAUGCUGCGUAUUUUGACUGCCUUGAGAAGAAUGGAUACUCGAGGAGGAAUUAACUGGUGGGGGGAUCUGGAUGAGUCCAGGACUUGAGGAUUUAGGGCGCUGAACAGGUAAAGAAGAUGCACCUGGGAUAGAACUGUUGAACAAACAAGGUUCCUGUUUCACUGUGCUUGAAUUUGAGUUCAAGGAGCUUUGUCGCAUCAUUUUCUGGUACCGAGUGGUCAGUGCAAGUGCUCCCUCUUCUGAGCCUGUCAUAAGCCCACUGGAGAUAUCCCUCAAAUUAGAAGCCCUGUUGCUCGGGGAAUCUUGACCACUCUCUGGCUGCUCCCCGUGAUGCAGUUGUUUUUUCUUAAUCUUGACUGUGGUUGCUUCCCGAGGAUAAUUUUUCAAGCUCUCUGAAAAUGAGCAUUGGCAACAGAUAUAACUUGUAAGAAUCAAUAACGCAAUAACUUCACUGAAUAACAAGGUCAAUAGGCAAAUUUUAAUUAAUUAAUGAAUUUAAUUUUGUUCCUUGCUGUUGUACAAUGUCAUGCUCCGUUUAUAUGUGGUAACACAAAGGGUAAUAAAUGAGAACACGCAUGGUUGCCAAGCUGCUCUAGGAUUUAAAUAUUUUCCCCAUUUUUUGUCUUCUUGAACACAAAAAUGGUGCACUGAGUUUCAAGUGAUAGGAAGAUCCAAGUGGAUGUUAUUGUCACCAACUUCAUGUCCACAGCAAUAAAACAGAGAUAGGAUUAUUUCUUUUAUGUGAUUUUAGGAAGAAAAAACACAAAACAAAAUACAGAAACCACAUGUUUCAAGAUGGCAUCAGGAGACAGGGAAGCGAUGAACCACAUUCACAAAGCUAUAUAAACUAAAAAGCUAUAAUUUUCCUCUGAUGCCAGCCAAAUCACAUCUGGAAAGUAAACUCGCAAAAAGUUGCAUUACAAGAAGCCUGAAGUUGUAUUUAACAAAAAGGCCCUUGAAGAUGGGAAAUUUAAGGGCAACCCUGAAGGCUAGAUGAAAUCAAAAGAUAUUUCCUAGUAUUAACAAGCAGUAUGAGUUACCGAUUGGCCCAAUGUUGCUAUCCCUCACAAAAAUCAUCAAGUCUUUCAUACUAUCAACGACCUCAGCUAUCUGUUAAGAUUUACAAUUGAAAAGUAUAAAAACAUAAAAGAGAUAUAUAUGAGAAAAUGCUCCAGAUUCAAACAAAAGGAACUGCUCAGGUUUACCUGCAAGCAUCGAACAUAUCUUUUUGAAAAUCCCAACUCAUCUACCAACUGCAACUCCAAAUUUCUUGCAAGCUGAUGCCCAGCUCUCAGAAACCUACAACAAAAUACUUGGUAAAAGUCCAGAUCAAGUUUUAACUGUAUUAAUAUGGUCUUGCCUUUUUCUCCUUAAGAAGAUAAAGUAUGAUAUUAGCAAACUCUGACCCAAUGUCACCAGCCCAGCCAUACAUUUUAGACAAGUCUUCCACUAAAAACUUGUAUAAUCCAAAUUCAAACUAAUUAUAAAUUCUGACUUUAAGAAGAUUUCCUGCUAUGAUCUGUUGGCAUAACCUUGUCUUUUCAUGAGAACCAGGUGAUCCAGUGAUCACAUAGAGACCCAUAGACAAGGGAAUCAAAGCAAAAAAUUCAAGCAGAUUGCAUAGAGGGUUUAUUCGUACAUGUGGGAACAUUUCAGACUACCUAUGAAAAUGAAAUUAUUCUAUGGUAUUUCACAUGGCAUUUUAAACGAGUUCCUUCUGUUUUUUAUACAGCAUUUGUAAUGAGGAUUUUGCAAUAUGCGUAAGAUCAUCGUAAGAUUUCUUGAAAUAGCAUAUGCUUUUCUAUGUUCUGUCUUUUGGGGAAAAUCCCUUUUUUAUGGCUUUUGUUUAACCAAAAAUAUCCCCUUGACAGCCUUUGAACAUGGUUUGGCAGCUCCUCUAUCCAAGCAGCGGCUCCUUUCAAACAGCCAUGAGGAAUAAAAUACGUUGCUAUCCUGUAAUAUAAGUUUGUUGGACCAUGUAGCAGCAAAGUGCACCCAAAGUUGUUCACAAUUUUAAUUUGGGUAAAUUGCGAAAUUCGCCCCUGUACCAUGGUUCAAUUUAGUUCCUAAACCUUUUUUUGAAGUAAUGUCACCCUCAAACUAUUCCCAAAUGUUAAAUAGAUCCAUCUAUUCAGGAUUUCCAUUAGAAUGGAUGGAGAAGUACACAUGCUUGUCAUCUCGGCACCACAUGCAAUUUAAGCAAAAUUAUAGUUUUAUAUUUAAUAGUGUUUGGUAAAAAGAAAAAAUAAAAUAAAAAACCGUAAAGCUGAAGGUUGAGGAGACACCAUCACUAGAAGCCCUAAACAAACUACUUACAACUCUACCUACAAACAAGGAAAUCACAGAAAUCAUAUUGACAGAGGAUAUCGGUCUCUAGGUUUGAAAUCAAGUCAUGAAUAUAUCAAUAUAUGCAACGGUACUGAAAUUUCUGGGUUUUUUGUUACACUGAGUUUGAACAAUUGUUAUUAACUCCAUAUGUGGGUGGGUUUUUUUGUUAUACUGUGUUUGAACAAUCGUUAUUAACUCAUAUGUGGGUUUGGAUUUUAGAAUGAGCUGGUUAAUUUGUAUGUAAAAAGUUGAUUGUAUGACUGAUAUUGGAAGAAUUCCAUCUAAUUUUACUGUCAAUAAUUUUUAGGGUUUAUGAUUAAAUUAGGUUUUCAAAAUAGAGUUUUUCAUUGGAUUAAUUAGUAAAUGGUAUUAUUUUUGGAGUUUUAAUAGGCCCUAGGCACCAUUCAAUCUGAAGACUUCAAUCUUCAAUUUUUUUGUGGUUUGUUCCAACCUUCAAUCUUCAAUCCUCUAUAAUUAAAAGAACAAAACCUCAUAAACCUUCAACUGUUAACCUUUCCUUCUCUGCAAAACGAAGUCUCCCCUUUUGGACUUUUUCAUCUUCAUUACUCUUUUUCCUUCCUCUUUUCACUAAACAGAACCUAUCAUGCCGGUGCCCAGAUAACAAGCAUGUGUGCUUCUCCAUCCAUAGUAACAGAAAUCCCUGACAUAAGAAUCUAUUUGACACAUUGGGGAAAAUUCAAGGUUGACAUUGCUUCAAAAAAGGUUUAGGAACUACAUUGAAACAGGGUGAAAGCAGAGGAGUGAAUUUUCUAAUUUAUCCUUUUAACUUUUAGAUGCUUAUUCCUGGUUUAUGACAGCAGCCAUUAACAUGAAGGAAGCUGAAGCCUCUAUAACAUUUCCUCCACUAAAGGCCCUCAAAUGAAAUUAAAAACAGUUAAGAGAGUUACCCAUGGCUUAACGCAAUUACAAAUAUAACAUAUGCAUGUAUGAGGUAGCAAGCCGAUUUAUAUGAAGAAUAUAACCUUAGGAAAUCAUGUUUUAAGAAAAUAAAACAAACAUGGAGGUGUUAAACAAAACUCACCUAUUGCAAUUUACUAGCAAAUCUUGUGCACAAAACCCAUCAGAUUUACUUCCAUUCAUUGUGGUUUGAUACUUCUGGGCAGCAUGAACUAACUGAUUAACCUGCAAAUGAGAGCACAUGUUUAAGGAAUGUAAGUUACAACUUACAAUAGGGUUGCAGCCAGUAGCAAGAUAUGUUAAAUUCAAGGACUUCCAUAGCAAAAUGGUUAUACCAAGUACCUUCAGUGACCUUUCCAGGACUGAGGAACAAUUAAUCAAAAAGUAGCAGUGAAUUAUCUAUUUAAAAUUAAUACAUUGCUUCUUGGUUGAAACCUGAUCCUAAUGCACACACUAAUUUCCAUCUUCUGGUUUCAAUCUGGUCCAGAAAAUAGGAACGAUGAUUGUAAUGCUAAACCAAAAAUGACAAAUUGAUUAAAGGUUCUUCCAUGAAUAUCAAGAAGAAUGGUAGCUGGAAAGGUCAAAAUAAUGAUAUUCCAAUCAAUUUGGAAAGGAAGCACAGAAUUUAGCAACUGAAGAACUGAAAAUAUAAAUUUGAGGAGCUAGUACUUUGACCUUUGUGGAACUGGACUAUGUCACAAAGACAAGUAGGAGAAAAUCAUCUGAUCAAUACCUGAGGUGCAACCAACUGACGAGGCAAAAGUUCUUCAUGAUGCCUUGUGCAAAACUCCCAAGACAGUAUCUAAGGUAAUAAAGGGUUAACAAGAUAAGUAAGAUAUCAUUGUAAGCAAAAGUCACCAAUAAAUACCGGACAUUUAAUAAUAUAACCUACCAGUUUUAUAUGCAACAGCAGUUUAACUAACCUUCAAAUCAUGAGUGAAAAUAAUGCGAAGUUGACCCUCACGAACAACGCGAAGUUGCUCAUAGACACUCUCCUGAACUGCUUUUCCAUAUUCUAACAUCAUUAAUCCAGAAGAGAAUCUACUUUCAUGAGGCAAAUCUACGAACAAAAGCUCAUCGAUAACACCACUCUCAAAGUUUAUUUUAAUAAGCUGAGGAAGCACUUCAAAAAUUGCCUCUGCAUAGAAGAAAUAGAUAAAGAAAGACAUUAUAUACUCGCAGAUUAAAGAGAAUUUCAAUGAUCAUAACAACUCUAGCUAAAAUGGAACGUAAAAAGUUAAGAUCAAUGAGUCAGCCAACACAGAGUGACUGUAUGGUUAUUAAGGUGUACCACAAAUGAAGCACAUACAUACAGAUCAAAGUACAUAUGGGUAAGACCUGUUAUUUUACACCUACAAAUAAACAUUGUUAUAGGACCUGCAUAGGAAGAAUUUAGGAGUCUAGAAAAAUCAAAAUACAGAAGGCAAAUGUUGCCUGCCUGUCCAAACCACAAUUAGUAAUGCUUCUGGUCAAAGAAGUGGCCAGAAUUAGAUAUCAAUCUCAGUUUAUUGAUCAUUACAGCUGGACUAGUUAACCAAGCUGGGAGACCCUGGAGUGGUUACCUGCUGGAAGUACCUAGAAGAUGAAUGUUAGCAACCUAGCUAUUAGAGGGUGCAGCAUGGGCAUGUGAGAUAACAGCUUGUGCCCCACAUGGCCCAAUGCAUGUUGGUGGUGGCAUGCCUAAACAUAGACAAGGUGAUGUUGCUUGGAAAACAUAUUCAUGGCAGAGGUAGCGGCUGUAAAUGAUGUGCGUUGUUGGGAACUUGGCGGCAUCAUCCUUGAGGGAUCAAAGCAGGUUGAGUGGCACAAAUCACAGCAAGGUUGUGUGUGGUAGGCAGCAGGGGGUGAUGCAAGGGCACACAACAUUGCCAGCACACAUUGCAUGACUUGCUGGCAUGACAUCUAGCAAUGGCAUAGCACACUCACAUAGGUUGACAUGGUGAGUGUUCGGUGUUGGUGCUUUGAUAGGUUCCCUAAGUUGCUAGAGACCUAAGAAGAAUUUUCCAAGUAAUGGGGUAUUUUUUUAAAUUCUCUCAUUAGAGAAAAUACAUUAUACCUACAGAAGCACCCUUGAUAUCUCAUCCAAAUAGGUUGAAAAUGGUCGAAAUGCUCUUUAGGGAUGGAGUGAUAGUCUCAAUUGGGGUAACAUAAGGGUGUGGGCUAUAGCAUGGCACAGGCACACCUGAGACUGUAGUUUUAAAAGAUGCUCUUAAAGCACGCCUAGGCCUAAGGCACAACCACUACUUAGUUAUAGCACCUCCCUUGCCAAGGCAUGUGCCUUGUUGGAAAGGUAUGCCUCAUCAACAUUACUUUUCCCUUUUAAACAAUUUUAUCAUUGAAAUUUCUAAUCACAUAUUGAAAUUUACUACUUUUUUGUUGAAUGCUUUUUUGAAUAUUUGGAAUCUUAAAUUUUUUAACAAUUGGAUUAGAUUUUGGAUCAUAUUUUAUAAAAUUGAUAUGCAUCCUAUGUCAUGUUUCUCUUGACUCCGGUGCUCGUCUUAUGUUGCGCCUUGUGCCCAAGUUCUAGUAGACUUUUGUGCCUUAGGUGUGUCUUACACCUUUUAAAACUAUGCUUGAGACGCAGACUUUCCACAAACAAGUGCAAGGCUCCAUGAGGACUUUCACACACCCAAGUGCACAAUAGCUUAGGUAAGGGAUAGGAGUAUGAAACAUAGCAGAUGUGCAUUGUGUAGCUAAGACAAGACAGGUUGUUAGCAACUUGAUGCAUGGAUCGAACAUGGGCAAUGCUAUAUGUAUGAAGCUUGGGCACAACCAAAGUCAUGAGACACUAAAACACAAGAUGAAAGGCUCUCAUGCUAAGCAAGUGUUGGCUUGACAAGGCACACAUGAGUACGUGAGUGCACGCGUGCAAGACACAUGGGGCUAGUUAGCUGAGGCAUGCAAACCAAGGAGGAGAAGCAUGCAAGACAUUUGGGACUGGUUAGUUGAGAUGUGAGGAUACUUACUAAGAUGUCUAAUGCAUGGAGAUGUUACCCCUGUUCAUAAACAAACAUAGGGUAACUAUUCCAUGGAGAAGUGACUCCCUAUUCAUCAGCAGACAUGGGGGUGUGUUGCAGAGACGCAUGGGCCCCUUGGUAGUACCUGAUGGAGGGUCAAAGUGUGUGGGACACCUAGCAACACCUGAGGAGAAGUUGUGAACAAGGAGGAACUACCAAGACAUGGCAAAACAUGGGCUGGGUCUCUAAAAUGUGAGUUACUUAAAAGUAACCAAUGUCCUCUGGUUGCUUAUAAAUAUCCUAUUGUACAUGUAACAAAGAGAGAGAAAGAGAGAGAGAGAGAGAGAGAGAUAAAGUUUUUGCAUAGGCUUAUUGUUUACUUGUCAGCCUUGGUUUCUUGUAUUGUGUGAGGAAUAAUACAAGUUGGGAAGUGAUUUCCUGCCAGUUGCUUAUGUUCAUUGUGUGGAUUAGCUAAUAUGAGUCUUAGCACCAUCACAAGAAAAAAAUAUUUGUGGCAAUGAAUUCUUCUGACAAUGAACCUCUCUAACACCAAGACAAGUACAUGAAAUGUCUUUUCAUUAAAGAGAAUAAUAGCAAUAACAACCACACAAUUUAAUAAGGUGAUAACUUCUAGAGUGAAGAUACUGGACUAAAACAUGUGACUCAGAAAUCAGUCUUCAUGUUAAAACUUCAGUUUUCCUCUUCCAAGAGCAGUUCAAAAGUUAAGGGUUGAUUUAUAAAGCACUGUAGCUGAUACCAGGAUCAUCAUCCACUGGAGGCAAGACACCUCAACCAAGAUUUCCAGCUUGAACUUCCAUUUUUCUCUUAACAGGACCAGAACUUACAAUAAGAAAAUAAUAUACUGCAAAUAUGAAUGCUGGAGGCUAACAACAUAGUUUCGGUGGAUAAAUUGAACGUUUGUACAUACGCUUCUUGUUGGAUGCAGUACAUCUACCAGACAAGGGAGUCAAGCCCUUUAAUUAUGGCAAUCAAUAAUAUUCUCUAAAAUAAAUUUGAAAACAAAAUAGCUGAAAGUGCAAGUAACAACAAAAUUUGGAUAUCAUUAAUCAAUAAAACCAGACACAAUGCCGAACAUCAAUGAAAAAGAAAUAGCACUAAUGACGGAUAAGAAUACUAGAACUAGAAGACAA
Molecule: long non-coding RNA, 59888 nt
Filed under: Vitis vinifera (wine grape)
Lineage: Eukaryota; Viridiplantae; Streptophyta; Magnoliopsida; Vitales; Vitaceae
Description: long non-coding RNA (VVIN_LNC000377)
Source: RNAcentral